RNAcentral lists this long non-coding RNA (85111 nucleotides) under Malus domestica (apple). RNAcentral's name for it is "long non-coding RNA (MDOM_LNC011577)". The record is from RNAcentral. Lineage: Eukaryota; Viridiplantae; Streptophyta; Magnoliopsida; Rosales; Rosaceae.
UUACAUUUGUGUCACAUAUCAGCAACAACUUCCGAUGAAAACUCCUCUGCUUUCAUGGCUUUUCUUACUCCGCAUUUGCUAUGUUUCACUCACCUUCCAUACGUUUGUGGUCUCUACCCAAUGUCCCGGCGAUCAGAAAUCUUUGCUGCUACAAUUGAAGGACACCCUCGCAUUUGACCCUGCAACGUCUCAAAAACUUGUGAAGUGGAACAAUGCCUCGGACUACUGCUCUUGGGAAGGAGUGUCCUGCAAAGAGGGUUGUGUUUCGAAUCUGGACUUGAGCAACGAGUGGAUUACUGGUGGACUUGAUAAUUCCAGUCCUCUUUUCGGUCUGAAGUCGAUCGAGAACCUGAAUUUGGCUCACAACUUCUUCAACUACACUCAGAUUCCUUCCGAGUUCAAACAGCUAGCCGGUUUGCGUAACCUGAACUUGUCGAAAGCUAAAUUUGCAGGGAAGGUUCCGAUUGAGAUUUCGCACUUGACGAGGUUGGUAACUCUCGAUUUGUCUACCCUCGACAAUCCGUUGCUAAAACUUGAGAUGCCGAAUUUGAAAGUGCUCAUUCGGAACUUUUCUGAGCUUGUUGAACUUUAUCUUGAUGGCGUGAAUAUAUCAGCACAGGGGACUGAAUGGUGCCAAGCUAUAUCAUCUUCACUGCCAAAAUUGAGGGUGCUGAGCUUGUCCGCUUGUUCUCUUUCAGGCCCUAUUGAUAGUUCAUUACUGAAGCUUCAAUCGCUCUCGGUUAUUCGUUUAGAUGGCAAUGAUUUCUCUAUUCAAGUUCCGGAGUUCUUCUCAAAGUUCCCAAAUUUGACUUCCUUGCACCUAAGCUAUUCUGGCUUAUAUGGUACAUUCCCAGAGAAGAUCUUCCAGGUACCUACACUACAGACUAUUGACUUAUCUUGGAAUCCGCAGCUUCAGGGUUCCUUACCAGAAUUUCCAAAGAAUGCUUCUCUUCGGUCCUUGGUUCUAUGCGGGGCUAACUUUUCAGGCCAGUUGCUUCCGAACUCUAUUGGCAACCUCAAAAUGUUGUCCGAGGUAGAUAUUCGGUGGUGCAAUUUCACUGGAUCAAUCCCAAGGUCAAUAGAAGAUCUUCAUCAAUUGGUUUCUUUUGACUUGUCAUCAAACAAGUUCAACGGUUCAAUUCCAUCCUUCAGUAUGGCCAACAAUCUGACCGUGAUCAAUCUUUUUGACAAUCAGCUGACAGGUCAGAUUAAUUCCACUCACUGGGAAAAUCUCACUAAUCUGGUGAAUCUCAAUUUGAGAUCCAAUCAACUAGAUGGGACUAUUCCGUCAUCUCUGUUUUCUCUUCCCAUGCUGCAAGAUUUAGAGCUUUCUAACAAUCACUUCUCCGGCCAGUUACCUGAAUUUGGUAAUUUUUCUUCCCUACGAGUCCUUGAUUUGAGUAGCAAUAGUUUGGAAGGGCCUAUACCCAUGUCCAUCUUUAAUCUACGAGAGCUUAUUUUUCUCUCACUUUCUUCAAACAACUUCAGUGGGUCCUUUCUGCUUAAUGAUAUUCAACAACUGAAAAAUCUCUUAAGUCUUGAUCUUUCAUACAAUAGCUUGCUAAUUAAUUAUGACAGUUCCAAUUCCUCCUGCUUUCCUCAACUUCUCUUAUUGAAAUUAGCCGCUGGAAAGUUGAGAACCUUUCCUGAUUUCUUGAGAAAUCAAUCGGCAUUAGGCGCUUUGGACCUAUCCCUAAACCAGAUUCAUGGGGAGAUACCCAACUGGAUUUGGAGGCUCAGUAAUCUUGUUCAACUAAAUCUUUCUUGCAACUCUCUGGUAAAUCUACCAGGUCCUUUCCUCAAUCUUACUUCUUCUUAUGUGCUUGAUAUUGACCUUCAUUCCAACCAGCUUCAGGGACCAAUUCCAAUUGUUUCACCAUCUUCCGCUUAUCUGGAUUACUCAAGAAAUAAUUUCAGCUCAAGCAUACCGGCAGAAAUUGGUGAUUUCCUUGUGAACACUAUGUUCUUCUCUCUUGCAAGUAAUCACAUCCACGGGAUCAUUCCAGAAUCAGUAUGCAAGGCGACAUCUCUUAAAGUUCUUGAUCUGUCCAAUAAUUCCUUAAGUGGCAUGAUUCCCCAGUGCUUGACUGCAAUAAACGGGCCUCUUGCAGUACUUGAUUUAAGGAGAAACAAACUUUCUGGCACUCUUCCAGAUAAUUUUCCUGAGAACUGUAGUCUACACACUCUAGACCUCAAUGGCAAUGUGAUUGGUGGUCAGUUCCCAAAAUCUCUAGCCAACUGCACAAUGUUAGAGGUGUUAAACCUGGGAAACAAUCAGAUAACAGAUGUCUUUCCAUGCUCAUUGAAGAGCAUAUCCAGCUUGCGUGUACUUGUCUUGCGUUUCAACAAAUUUUAUGAUCGCAUUGAAUGCCACAAGACUAAAAGUGCCUGGCCAAAGCUUCAAAUUAUUGACAUAGCUCGCAACAAUUUUACUGGCGAAAUACCAGGAAGUUUUUUUAAAAGGUGGCAAGCAAUGAUGGCUGACAAAGAUGGUGCCGUGUCAAAGAUUAAUCACCUCCAAUUUCAAGUUGUAGACUUCGGCCAGGUGUACUAUCAGGAUACCGUAACAGUUACCAUCAAAGGUCUAGCUAUGGAAUUUGUAAAGAUCUUAACAGUCUUCACUUCAAUUGACAUCUCCUGCAACAAUUUUAACGGAUCAAUACCUGAGGAAGUGGGAAUGCUCAAAUCACUUCAUGGCCUAAACUUGUCCAGUAAUGCUCUCACAGGCGCAAUCCCAUCAUCACUAGGUAAUCUAGGACAGCUUGAGUCCUUAGACCUUUCGGACAACAAAUUGAGCGGAACAAUUCCAUCACAACUUUCCAAACUUAAUUUCCUCUCAUUCCUAAAUCUGUCGAGCAAUCAACUUGUCGGGAAGAUUCCAACCGGCACUCAGAUUCAGACUUUUUCAGCAGAUUCUUUCGCAGGCAAUAAAGGAUUAUAUGGGCCACCGUUAGAUAACGGAUCACCAAUGUUGCCACCAACAUUAGAAGGCAAACAUUCUAAUUCUGCGCACAGAAUUGAUUGGGAUCUUAUCAGUGUUGAAGUUGGAUUUAUUGUUGGCUUUGGAGCUGCGGUCGGGUCACUUGUGUUGUGCAAGAGAUGGAGUAAAUGGUAUUACAAAACAAUGUAUAAAAUCCUUGUAAAGAUAUUCCCUUAGCUUGAAGAUAGAAUUGGUCCUCACCGAAGACAUGUCCACAUAAAUCAGAGGUUCGGACGUUGAAGUUAAUGAUCAUGGGGACCAAUGCAGCUGGACCUCAAGCUAUGCCUGGGGAAUUUGAGAUCCAACAAAUAAGAGGUUUGCUUUUUGGUUUUACCUUUUAAAUUUAUGUAUGUUAUAGUUAUAUUUGUAAUAGUUUAUUGUGUAUCUUUAUCCUUUGUUUUCAAUAAACUUCCUCGUACCGUCGAGGUUCUUGAAGUUAGCGUAAUUUGAUAUACCCAAAAGAGUGUACUACAUGUAAUGUAUUAUUUGUUUGAAUUGUGUAGUACAAUGUCGAGACCAACUCCACCCAAAAGAGUGUACUACAAAGAAUAUCUUGACUUCUAAAUUGCGAUAUGUUUUAACAUCUUGUCAUUCAAUUUUAAACUCAUCAUAUCCAGUUUAUUUUUCACCUCAAUUUAUAAGAGAGCAAACCAGCACUUUUUAUUUCAGAAUUUCCUCACCAACUUUUAUGUAUGAGAUUGCACCAAAAGGCAAAAGCCAACCCUCUCAGGUAACAAGAAGUAAUGAAAAACUCAACCGCUUCAACAAAAUCGGCAAACUACGGUUCAAUCAGUAUUCUCCCUUUCAUGCCUAAGCACAAUGAAAUACUCAUCUGCUUUUACAAGAGUUGAGUCACUCGCCCAAUUUCAACUGGUUUUAGGAUGAACCUCAACUUCAAUUAUAGGACAAAAGCUUCUAUCGUUUAAGACUUUAUGUUGUCAAAUGCGAAGUAUCGAUCGCGAUGAUUAGGUCUUCCAUAUUAACACUUAACUACCAUAGUUACAUACAAUACAUGAGUUUUUCGGAGAAUAUAUUUCUCUUGCUACCCAGAAAAUCAACAUGAGCAUACACAAACCAUUCUGUUUUUCUUCCACCUAUAACGGUAUGUAUGUAUGAUCGACUAUAUAUGGCCUUCGUUAGUCAAAAACUAAAAUAGGAGUAACAUGUAGAUUGCAGAUAUGCCUAGACUACUUCAAAGUGAAUUAGAGUCAAUCAAAUCAUAAACCUGAGUAAUGCACUGAAAAUUUCUGGUUUGGAAUCUCUGACGCUCAGGGAAUAAGCAAAAUGCAUGCAACAAAGCCUCCAUUGUUAACCUGAAAUAACAACAGUAUAUCAAGUUUAAUUUUCUUUUCAUUUGAAUCCUGGGUAAACAUAAUUCUUUCAAAAAGAUCGGACGCAAAUGCCAAUAUCUUACAGAUUUGUAAUUUCAUAUUGUGAACUAGCACCGCAACAAAAUAUUUACAUGUAUAUUGCAUAGUAUUUCUAAAUGCUGACCAAUUGGUAGCAUUAGCUAUUAUAUUGCAGUGUAAACCUCCUUCUGAAUGAAGGAAGCCGAGUGAUAUCUCCCACAAAUGUGAAGAACUUGUUGGAAUCAAUGCUUUUCUCUGAAGCUUUAGCCCUUACCAAAGACAAAAUCUUCAAUUAAUAACUCAAGUCCACUAAAACAAGUCUAGAAUUUCCAAGCUUAUUCCUAAAUUCUAUAACUUUCUCAACAAUAAUAUCAGAUGCCUUUGCAAGGUCAAAUUGAAAAUCUGCUGUUGAAAUGGAAGGAAAUGCCAGAGUGGAAGCAUCGUUUAGAGAACCAUCACCGUCAACAGAGCCUACAACUAGCUUUUCACCUUCCUUUGACUCCUUACCAGAUUUUUCAGAAAGUGAAACUGUUCCUUUCAAAGAGGUUUCCUUUUCUUCAGUAAUUUGAGAAGCAUUAGAAUCCGGUACACUCUUCAACGUUGAUUCAGUAUUGGCAGGACCAUCUGUUUUCUUUAAGAACUUCAUUAUACCUGGUUGAAUUUUUGCACCGGGGUUCUUCUGACCAAAAUAACCAUUGGGCAGUGUAUCUAACGGACCAAGUCCACUAUAUGCAUCAACGGAAGAUUGAUCAUCACUCUCACUCUGGCAACAAGUAAUUCUAGCAAACCCUUCACUCAGCUCAGGCAGUUCUUUGUUCUGCAGCAUUCUAUUCACAAUCGCCACAGCUUUCCCGCCUUGCACGUUUCCUUCAUGGCCCGUUCGCUUCACAUACCGCAAUAUACAAAGCUUGGCAGGAAGAUCAAGCACCACAGCAUGAACAUCAACUUGGGAACUACCACCAAGCUUCACAAAAUCAUCCCAUUUUUUCUUUCUCCACAUUACAACUAUCUAUAAACACACACUACCCAUCCUUCAACGCAUUCAUUGCACUAUCUAUACACUGCCCCUUCGUUCCGGCUUUACCAAUUUUGAUAGUAUCCUACAAAAACAUAAAUAUGAACAUAUAACAGCAUAAAACAAGAACCCAAAUGAAUAGAAAUCCGGAGUACCAUAUUACGUACUCAAAAUAACAAUCUUGAGCCCACUGCGACAUUUCAUCGAACACACUGUGUGCACAGAGAUAUACCUGGCAAACGCAAACCCAAGGGCGAGUGGAGCGCAUGACAUGUUCGCAGAAGGUAGACUUGCCGCUUCUAGGCGCACCCACCAAUAUUACUACGACAGGUUUUAUGAUCACCGAAGGCGACGACGACCGAGAAUGGUAAAACGCGGCGUUUUUGAGAAGGGGCGUAUCUUUGGCUGUUUCGUCGAUAUCCAUGUCCAUGUUUUGGAAGACUCUGCAAGGCACUUUUGAAUUAACGGCGGAAAAGCAGCGGUUUCUUCUAGCAUUGGGCUGGAAGCCUGAAGCUUCUAUCGCCGGUGCCUGGUGCUUGCGUAAUGGAACACAUGUCACACAUCGUCGACCCGAAAAUUGACAAGAUCCGAUUCGAUUUAGAUUUUAUCCAUAUAUUAGCAUCUUCGCAAACGCCCACGCACAAACCAGAAUAUUUUAAUCAUGGGCCUUACGCACCCUUUUGAGAAGGGGCGUAUCUUUGGCUGUUUCGUCGAUAUCCAUGUCCAUGUUUUGGAAGACUCUGCAAGGCACUUUUGAAUUAACGGCGGAAAAGCAGCGGUUUCUUCUAGCAUUGGGCUGGAAGCCUGAAGCUUCUAUCGCCGGUGCCUGGUGCUUGCGUAAUGGAACACAUGUCACACAUCGUCGACCCGAAAAUUGACAAGAUCCGAUUCGAUUUAGAUUUUAUCCAUAUAUUAGCAUCUUCGCAAACGCCCACGCACAAACCAGAAUAUUUUAAUCAUGGGCCUUACGCACCCUUUAAAGAUGGGUUUGCUUUAAUUAUUUUUCUAGUUGUUUAAAAUUGUUAUUUGGUAAAAAAUUUGUGAGGACCUUUCCUUAUCAUAUUAGGCAUCAAAAUUUUCUUAUCCUUUUCUUUUUCAAUCAUCUUCUUGUGAUAAUUUUUUCUAUAAUUGUGUUAAGCCCUCCGUAUUCCGGUAACCUACAACAUGUUAAAUCUAUAGAAAUUAUAAACUUGUUAAUUACGUUCAUAGCACAAAGGCCUAUACAUACAAUCGUGUUUAAUUGGUGUACAGGUAAGGAUCUCUUCAAAUUAUGAAUACAAUCAGAACCAGAUUACACUAUUAAUUGCUAAACCUUAAGAAGGACGAUUUCCUUGCACAAGACUCCUUCUCUAACAUCAUGACAAACUAGACGGUCGAGAGGCGACAAGUUUGGACCAUAGAAGAAUAAACCGUGGUUUAGAUAGACCUUUUGUCAAGAGAUUUGUUAGUUGAUCCAAGAAUGGGAUGAAAUGAACUUUGUGAGUACCAAGCUUAACAUGUUCACGAACAAAAUGAUAAUCUAACUCAAUAUGCUUUGUGCGAGCAUGAAAUACCUGGUUGGCUGCGAUAUACCUAGUACUAAGAUUAUCACAAAGGAGAUAGGUGGGCAAAGAGGCAUGAAACCGAAGUUCAUGAAGUAAGUGUUGCGUGAGUCAACCUUAGAAAAUAAGGAAUGUAGAGAUUUUUUGGGUAUAUAAUUAUGUAAUUGGUAUCCUUGUGUUUAUGGGAUACUUGUUUCCUAAUUUAUAGGAGAUUGUAUCAGUUUAUAUACCUCUCUACGAGAGAAGAAUAAUAAGAAAAUAUAUUCACCAAAACCCUAGAAUUUUAUCUUGGUAUCAAGAGCCAGGUUUCGACCUGACUCCUCUCGGAAAAAGAACCCCUAAACAUCGUACAUGCCCUAACCUGUGAAACUUUGGUUCUCAAAUUUUGAACCCAUAGGUCAAACCCGUAGUCUUUGGAAACAACAGAGCUACACUGUCAGUACAAUGGCAGAAAACAAAGCAGGUGCCCUAAUUCCCAUGCACCCCGUGGCUGCUCAGGGUGAGUCUACCAAUAUCAAUGCCGUUCCAUUCGGGUUUCGAUUGAGCGACUCGAACUUCAAGGUUUGGUCCAAGAUGAUGGAGGUUCACGCUUCAGGACUCGGGAAGCAAGGCUAUUUAACGAGUAAAAUUCCGGCCGUUGAUGAAGAUGAUCCAGGAUAUGUAAAGUGGGCAACUGAAGAUGCUAUCGUACGCGGGUGGUUGCUCAAAACCAUGGAACCACACCUACUUGGUCUCUUUAUAGACUUACCCACUGCCAAAGAUAUCUGGGAGACUGUCACCCAGAUGUUCUAUGAUGGUUCCGAUGAGUCACAAUACUAUGAACUCCGGUGCAAGGCUACACGAACGAGACAAGACGGUCGUCCAAUCAAUCUAUAUUUAACUGAACUAAAGGGUGUUUGGCAGGACCUAGACAGGAGACGUCCUCUCCGUAUGGUGUGUGGAGCGGACCUGAAAACUCAGAAAGAAGAAGUUGCAAAAGAUAGGGUGUACGACUUUCUCGCUGGAUUAGAUAGCGGUUUUGACCAAGUUCGGAGUGAGAUUCUAAGGAUGAAACCUAUCCCUGGAAUCGAAGAAUGCUUCAAUUUGGUACGACGAGAAUCCCAGAGAAAGGCCACUAUGAUGGGAACAAAGACUACGAUGGCAGCACCCCCUAUGGCUAUGGCAACCAAGGCGUCUAGUUCACGUCCACGGGCAUAUGGAAACACUCGAUCAUCUCGUACCCAGGAGGAUAUCGAUAAAGAUAAACUCCAUUGUAAUCACUGUAAUGGAACACGACACACUGAGGACACCUGUUUUGAAAUCCAUGGCUACCCAGAUUGGUACUGGGAAAGAAAGAAGGAGUUGAAGGCUAGGGAACUAAAAGGAUGGGUCAAGUCCGUGUAGCGGUUUCUGGAUCUGGAGCGGCAUCUAGUGUACAAGGGAGUCAAACUGGGCUCCAAGCCCAACUUGGAAAUUCUGAGGGAACCCGAGGAGUUGCUGCUAUUGCAGCGAGUCAGCACCGGCCUAUUUCGUCCAACCCAAUCACAGCAGCCCAAGCUGCAAGGUCCACUCCAAAUGCGGCAUCCACAGAAGAUGAAAACAGCCCACUCCUAUCUUUAAUCAAUCAAAUAUCAGUGAGUGACAAUCCAGAAGAUUCAGGUAAAAUCGGUUAUGUUUUAAUAACAUCCACAAAAAAAGAUACUGGUUGGAUAAUUGACUCUGGAGCUUCGGAUCAUAUGACUUAUGAUGCGUCAUUAUUCUAUCACAUGACUUUACCGUCUAAAGAAGAGGUCAUUACUGCCAAUGGUGACGUUGCUCCUGUAACAGAAGCAGGUUCUAUUUCACUUACUCCAUCUUUGUCCAUUCACAACGCACUACUUGUUCCGUCUUUAUCCAACCAUCUACUUUCCGUUGGUCAAGUUACUGAGCAAUUAGACUGUGUUGUGCUAAUGUUUCCCAAUUUUUGUCUACUUCAGGAUAUCCAGACUCGGGCGAUAAUUGGGCGUGGUACUAAAAGGAGGGGGUUAUAUUAUGUGGAUGAUGUCUCGGCAAGUCGAGUAAAUCAAGUACGUAGCAGUCACUCAAACAAGACUAAGACAGUUUGGUUAUGGCAUCGUCGAUUAGGACAUGCAUCUUUUGGUUAUUUGAAAAAAUUGCUUCCAUCUUUAUUUCAUGGCAUUUCAGACUCUGAUUUCCAGUGUAAUGAUUGCAUUCUUGCAAAAAGUCAUCGUACUUCAUAUAAUUUGAGUUUCAAUAAAAGAACAGUUCCUUUUGAGUUAGUUCAUUAUGAUGUGUGGGGGCCUUCUCCAGUAGCUACUAAUCAUGGGACUCGUUGGUUUGUUAUCUUUGUGGAUGAUUGCACCAGAAUGACAUGGCUUUAUACUAUGAAGAAUAAAAGUGAUGUUGGUCAAAUAUUUCACCAGUUUUACUGCAUGGUGAACAAUCAAUAUUCUCUUCCCCUCAAGGUUCUUCGGUCUGAUAAUGGUGGGGAAUAUCUCAAUACUGAACUUUCUCACUAUUUUCAGGAGCACGGCAUUCUUCAUGAGACUACCUGUCCACAAACCCCACAACAAAAUGGGGUUGCCGAACGCAAAAAUAGACACAUUUUGGAAACCACUAGAGCACUACUUAUCGGUGCUCAUGCUCCUCAUUCCUAUUGGGCGGAUGCCGUCAGAUAUUCUGUUUAUCUCCUGAACCGAAUGCCCUCUCGAGUGCAUAAUUUUCGCACUCCUAUAGAAGUUUUUGCCAACCAUGUGAUGUUACCAUCCUCACUCCAUUUGCAACCCCGUAUUUUUGGUUGUGUAGCCUAUGUGCACCUCCACAAAAAUCAGCACAGUAAGUUGGAUCCAUGUGCAGUUCGAUGUAUUUUUCUGGGAUUUAAUGGUCAGCAGAAGGGGUACCGAUGUUAUCACCCACCUACCAGGCAUAUGUAUGUCACCAUGGAUGUCACAUUUUCCGAACAUGAGAUGUUUUUUCUUCCUGAUCACACUCACUAAAAUCUUCAGGGGGAGAUGAGCAUAGAAGAUUAUAGUUGGAUUGAUCUUCCAACAGAGCAGGUGCAUGGUCACCGUGAGCAAGACAUAUGCAGUGGUGGGAUUUGCCAGCCACCUGUGAUCAACCAAGACCCAACAGUGGGGUCGAGUGACUGCCGUGAGCCCAACAAAUGUGUAGAAGAGCACCGAGAGCCCAGCAGCAUUGGGGAGCCCAAUAUGGGCUUGCUAAGCUUAAAUGAUCAGGGUGAGCCCAAUUUGGAUUUGAAUAUUUGCCGCAAGCCCAAUCAGGCAGGUGUACUUGAGCUCAGCGUGCCAUAUAAACCCAGCGCAGGUAAUGGACCGUGCUGCAACAUUCUACACCCUUUGACUCAAAAUGUGGACAACCCAAAUGCUUCAAGAAAUAACCUCUCCCUAGUUGUACCCGUCCAGAUGCCUGAGGAUAUCCAUGAGGUAAGUUUGUCUCAUUCUGAAGUAGCUCAUAAUUUGACUAACAUUGAAAGUACUUAUGUAGCCUCCUAGACAAAAUCGUGGAAAACCUCCUGACAGGUAUUCUCCGGAUGAAAAAAAUGAGAUAUGCAAUUGCAAAGUAUGUCUCUACGCAUCGGUUAUCUCCCAAGUACCAAGCAUUUGUGAAUACAAUGGAUGGAAUCAAAAUUCCAACUAAAGUGGAAGAAGCCUUGCAGGAUCCUCGAUGGACAGAAGCAAUGGAAGUUGAAAUGAAGGCCUUACAAAAUAACAGAACUUGGAGCGUAGAGUCACUACCCCAAGGAAAAAAACCAGUAGGGUGCAAAUGGGUGUUUACCAUCAAACACAAGGCGGAUGGAACCAUCGACAGAUACAAGGCAAGGUUGGUUGCUAAGGGGUACACACAGACUUUCGGAGUAGAUUAUGGGGAAACAUUUGCUCCGGUAGCAAAGAUGAACACUAUACGGGUUCUCUUAUCUUUAGCUGCUAAUUUUGAUUGGCCGUUGAAACAAUUUGAUGUAAAAAAUGCUUUUCUACAUGGAGACCUAGAAAAAGAAAUAUACAUGGAGCUUCCACCUGGGUAUGAAGUGCAGAAUAGAACAGGUAAGGUGUGCAGACUACGAAAGGCUCUUUAUGGACUUAAACAAUCGCCAAGGGCCUGGUUUGGAAGAUUCACUGAUGCAAUGAAGAAAUAUGGUUACCGACAAGGAAAUGCUGAUCACACUUUGUUUAUCAAACGCAGGGGUAAAAGGUUACCUUGUUAAUAAUAUAUGUGGAUGAUAUGGUAGUCACAGGUGAUGAUACCGAAGAGAUGGACAGACUACAGGUGUAUCUCUCUACGGAGUUUGAGAUGAAGGAUUUAUGAGGUUUGAAGUAUUUCUUGGGAAUUGAAGUUGCUCGUUCCCGUGAUGGUAUUUACUUAUCUCAGCGAAAGUAUGUUCUGGAUCUGUUGUCUGAAACAGGGAUGUCGGCUUGUAAACCAGCAGAAACGCCGAUAGUUCAGAAUCAUCAUUUGGCAAUAUACCCGGACCAGGUCCCGGCAAACAGGGAAAGAUAUCAAAGGUUAGUAGGAAGGUUGAUUUACUUGUCUCUCACUAGACCAGAUAUUGCAUAUGCUGUUAGUGUAGUAAGUCAAUUUAUGCACUCUCCUAGUGAAGAUCACAUGGAUGCAGUAAUGCGAAUAUUAAGUUAUUUGAAGGGUGCACCUGGAAAGGGAUUGUUGUUCAAGAAACAACGGCAUUUGGAGGUCAAAGGGUACACUGAUGCUGAUUGGGCUGGGAAUAUUACUGAUAGACGCUCUACAUCGGGGUAUUUUUCAUUUAUUGGCGGAAAUCUCGUGACUUGGAGAAGCAAGAAACAGAAUGUGGUUGCUAGGUCAACAGCUGAGGCUGAAUAUCGUGGUAUGGCACAUGGAAUUUGUGAGUUAUUAUGGCUGAGGAUUCUUCUUACAGAGAUUGGGUUCGAGCCACAUGGAACUAUGUUAUUGUAUUGUGAUAAUCAGGCUGCGCGGGAAAUAGCUAAUAAUCCAGUUCAGCAUGAUCGUACCAAACAUGUUGAGGUGGAUAGACAUUUUAUCAAAGAAAAGUUGGAUGUUAAGUUGGUAGAAAUUCCGUACGUAAGAUCUGAAGACUAGUUGGCCGAUGUGUUAACUCAUGCAGUGUCAGCAAAAGUGUUUCAGGACUCACUUGGCAAGUUGGGCCUAGGUGAUAUCUACGCACCAACUUGAGGGGGAGUGUUGCGUGAGUCAACCUUAGAAAAUAAGGAAUGUAGAGAUUUUUUGGGUAUAUAAUUAUGUAAUUGGUAUCCUUGUGUUUAUGGGAUACUUGUUUCCUAAUUUAUAGGAGAUUGUAUCAGUUUAUAUACCUCUCUACGAGAGAAGAAUAAUAAGAAAAUAUAUUCACCAAAACCCUAGAAUUUUAUCUGUAAGUAGGACACCUAAAGAGAUUCGAUACAGGUGUGAGCAAGAGCACGAUACUCAGACUCCACACUAUAGUAAGAAACAGUAGGACGUUUUGUAGAACUCCAUGAUAUGAGAUUCGGACCCAUAAAUAAAAGAUAACCAGAUGUCAAUUGACGAGUGUCAGUACAAGCCCAAUUUGCAUCGGAAUAACCCUGGAGAAUGAGGGGACCAUGGUGAGGCCAAAAAAUCAAACCAAAUCCACCAUAAAAUCAAUUGACAAAAUGGAAAGUAACUCAAUAAAUUAUAAGCACAUUCGUCACUUCUUUCUUCGACGUGGGAUGGAUACUCAAAGUCCACUAUAAAAUUGAAGAAACUUGUACAAAGUUAGAGUAGAUUUUCCAAUCUCCUUUGUUAGUGACAACAUAACUACCUUUGCCUAAAGGAAAAGGAUCAUCGCCGAUCCUUUUCCUAGGGAUCCUAGGAAUUUCGUGAUCCAGACAAUCCAUCGUACAUCGUGUGGUUAAAAAUCAUUUUAAAAUUUAAAAUUAAAUAUAAAUAGUACUUAAAGAAAAUUGAUCGCAUGAUUAAUAAUGAACGAUCCGGAUCACUGGAUUCCUAAGAUCCCCAUGAAAAGAUUCCAGCGAGGAUCCUUUUCCUUGCCUAAAGGGCAGGAAGACAGUCUAAGGAAAGGAUUUGGAUCCUCGCUGGAUCCCCUCACUGGGGAUCCUAGGGAUCAAUACACGUGGACCGUUGAUCAAAAAUCGUGCAGCCACAAUUUUUUCUUGUUUAUAUUUUUUACGUAAAACGAAGCUGCUUUACUUUUAAAAAUAUAAAAAACAUUUAAUUGGGACCGCAUGAUUUUUUAUCAACGGUCCACGUGUGUUGAUCCCUAGAUCCCCUUAUCCCCAGGAAAGGGAUCCGGCGAGGAUCCAAAUCCCUAAGGGAAACCAGGGUAGUUGGGGUAUGACACGUCGCAUCGCAUGGGACCCUUUUUGACCGUUUAGGCAGAAUAUUAAUACAACUCCAAAGACUCCAAGAAAGAUAUGUACCACACGACGACUCCUUUCCCUUGUCUAGACUCCAAAUUGGUAUGGAACUCUAAUCAUUGCCCUUAUUAAUUUAUCUUUGUGUAUGUGUUUGUUUCCCUCGAUUUUUAGACGUGUAUUUUGGUGCGAAACUGUUUUACAAGUUCCGGCAGGUUAGGUAUUAUUCAUGAUUGUGCUCGGUAGAAAAGGUUUUUUUAAUUUUUUAGUAAGCGUUUUGGGAGAAAAAAAAAAUUAAGAUACUUCUUUGGAAAGUACUUUCUCGUACUUGCAAGGAAGCACUUGGGGGUUUUGAUAAAAAUUCAACUUGUUUCUAAUUAAAGCACUUUUAACAAAAUCGUUUAUGAACAAAAUAUUUCUUACAAGAAUAGUCCCUGAUCACUCGGUCUUUUUUUAUGUGCAAAUCAUAGUAAGCAAAACAACUAAUAAGCACCAAACUCCACGGCUAAACGUCAAAUUUUACCGACAAGAUUGCAUGACUUUUGCUAUUUACCAACAAUGACACUGACAUCAGCUUCAAAAUCAUCCAUAAUUGAAAUAACAAAUAAACAAUAAUUUGUUCUUCUUUUCCAAAAAGAAGAAAAUGUUAGGGUGACUCUCUUAAAAAUGAGAUUCUUUGUCACAUCAUGUUUUUACAUUAGGUUUUAUAAUGUUGACACGUGAAUUAACGUAAUUUGUGAGGUGUCAGAGAGUUCAUAAAGAGUCUACUUUGAGAUAGUCUCCUUAGAAUUUCUCUUCCAAAAAUUGACCUACAAUUCAAGAUGCCCGACUUAUAAAUGAUUUCACACCACAAAAUUGUAGUAUUUAAUCCUUGUGGCACUGAAAUCAACAUUUCUUAUCAAGAAAUUAAGAAACGAUGCAUGAUAGAUGCUAAGGAGACUCUCUAAAUAAUUGUUUAUAGUAACUUAGAGGUUAUUGUAAAUUUGUAAUUAGGGUUUCGUCAAGGAUAUACCUACCUGCACUGAUAACACAAUAAUAUAUCGCUAUUGAUGACGUUAUUUAACUCGAAGCAAUACCCUUAAUGUGUGGGGUUAUCCUUUUUCUUCACUAAUCACAGUAAAAUGAACAAAAGAAAAUUUCUGGCCCUCACUAAACAGCCGGCCAAGAUUUCAAAUUCUAUAAGUCAACAAGUCAACCCAGCAAUUAAUAUCGAAAUUCUAUAGUGUGACUUAUCAUGUUGUAUGUCUGUGGAUGUGAUGACAGUUUAAUUGUAUAAACAAGGGUUUCGGGCAAUAGGAUUGCUUAUCAUGUUUCGCAAUUAAAUGGAAAAAAAGGUCGGCUCAAAUUAACUUCACAACAAUUUGUUUUGCCCUGAUUGAAAUUGAAUUGGUUGAAAUAUGUAUGAUUGGUUUAGCUGUGUAUUCGAUUUAUUGACGAGGUGUGCAGUUUAUUCAAAUUGCUUAUUCGUAGAGGAUUUUGACAAGUUUCGUGGAGCUGUGGACUGUGUUAUGCAGCGCAAUCCAUUAAAUAUGACUGGACAUGAUUAGAAGAACAUGUUAUGUAGAACUGUCAAAUAUUAUUUUAGGCAAGUGCUCAAAUUGUGAGAGAGAUUAGUGUACAUUACUUUCUGUGGUUAUGAAGUACUGAGGGGAGGAUUGAUAUUUUUGGAGCUUAACAUUCCGGAGUUAGCAAAUGAGACUUCUUUCUGGGAAAUUUAAACCCCCUUGAUCUCAGGUUUACAUAAAAUAGGACUUAUGGAAUAGAUUUCAUAGUUGUACAUCUAUGGCAUCAUUACACUAUGAAAUAGGACUUUAAAUUCGCUGCUCUAACUUUGAUGGUCAUCUAUAUUAGUGUUAUUAUUACGUUUUGGUCAUCUUUUCACUAUCAUCUCUCUCAGUCAUGACUUAGGUACUACAGAAUGGGUUUUUGUGCAUCUGUUUAUUUGUAAUUGUCCAAAUAGCAAUGUAAUUGUUGAAUAGGUUUUUGUGUAUCUUUGCUGCUCCGUAUAAAUUAGCUUGAGGUUGCUUGACAGGUGACAGUGAAUUUACCAUGAGGUUAUGUAGUACCUUACAAAUAAACGUCUCUGUCAUGACAUAUAUUGUGAUUUUUUUUUUCCUUCCAUCUGUUUGUUGAUACAAUCCUUUAGGUAGAGCAUGUUAUGAUGUUUCCAAUUUGAUAAAUGCCGUUAAGUCUUUAUGAAUUCAACCAUUGUAUGAUUUGCAUUUAUUUAGAAUUCAUAAGAACUUAAAAAAUCUAGAACUGCAGUGUAUAAACUUGGUUAUUUACUUCUCACGCCAUUGAGGCACAAAAGUUGUUCCUGCACUAAGUUCUUUAUAUCGAAAUUGAACAAAUUUAAUUUUCCUUUAUAUCCAAAUGCAUUAAAGUAAUUGUGAGUUGUAUGACAUGACUGUUCAAUUAUGGCCUUGGCUGAAGCCCCUUGCUUAUCUUAAUAAAUGUGCUUGCUUAUCUUAGUAUACAUAUGUGUUUUGCCGCUUAUCAAAAUCUGUUAGCCAAUAUUUUCGCACCGCUCUUUCGCACUCUUUUCCACGGCUAUCAUGUUUCUCUCUAACCUUCUAAAUUGUACCUUCAUUCACAACAAAAAACCUCGCAGUGAGCAAAUAGAGACAACCAAUUCUACUAUAAUUGCUAGAGAAUUCCAUAAUUUGGUUGUCCCUAAGAUUGAGCCCGCAGACAAAGAGCCGAUAGCCGCACUCAGAACAAAGUCUCAAGCCAAAAAAACCAAAGAUAGGUAAGUUACUAUUUGUUUUUCACAUGCACGCCUACAUAACAUCCGUCAUACCAGUGUUCACUAAACUAUUAUUUAUGUUUUUUGCUAUAGUGCGAAAGAUGUCCGCCCACAAAAAAAAAUGAAUGACCGCAGUCUCCGUUAUUAGUUGCUACAAAGGCGUUGUCCAUGUUUUUGCCUUUGAACAUAUGUGCUUGAAAACUUCCUUGCUGAACCAACAACAGAACAGUUUUUAUGGUUUUUGUUAACUACUAAAACAGGUGGCUGACCUGCAAGACAUGUAUUUUACCACCUUAACUACGGGGCAAAAUAUGUGUUGACUGCAUCUUGCUUCUGUUUCUUCUGUUUCUUACGGAAACAGGCAUCCUGCAUCUUUUUUGCUUUGGACAUUAGUGCUUGAAAGAUUAGCUAUUGAAACAAGAACAACAGAGCAUUUUUUGCAACCGUAUCUUUUGUAAUCAGCUCUGUUCAAUGUUUAUAAAACCCGAACUGCUUAUCUUACCAACGCCGUUCACUCAUCUAUCCCUUUUGUUUGUUUAUGAUUAUGUUGAAUUUUUUUCAGGUUCAAUGUGUCUUAUUCAUGUGGUUAAGGCUGGUGCAUUCAAGUCCCGCAACAACGCGGGGGCAUUUUUACUAGUAACUGCUAAAAGAGAGGGUUAACAUUUAACUACUAAAAUGAUUUGAAUUGGGCGUGUUCCUCUGUUAGAGACUUAAUUGAAGGAAGUUACCCCGAUGAGUCCUCCAGGAUAUCAUAGUGACAUACAAUCGAUGAGUUUUUCAGACAAUAUAUUCUCUUGCUAUCCAGAAUAUCAGCAUGAGCAUACACAACUGUUUUGUUUUUCUUCCACCUACAACGGUGUUUGUAUUUGAUCGACUAUAUAUCACCUUAAUCAAUCAAUAACUAAAAUAGGAGCAACAUGUAGAUUGCAGAAAUGCCUAGACUAGUUCAAAGUCAAUCAAAUCAUAAACCUGAGUAAUGCACUGAAAAUUUCUGGUUUGGAAUCUCUGACGCUCAGGGAAUAGGCACUGACUCAUUCAAGUGUGUUUAUAUGGAAGCUAAUCUAAAUUAUUUGUUCAAUUUAUCCCGUUAGUAACAUCACGUCAAGUGAUUUUGUAGAAUGCACUGGGAGAAUGCCGCUUUCGACCAAAAAAUUAAAGAAAAACUAACGAGAAGUCUAAAGAAACUUUAGUUUUAAUUAAAAAUAACAAACAAAGGUGUAAUGAAUAGUACCAUGGAAAAGUAAAAAUAUGGUUUUUGGUUAAGAGUGAAUAGUACAUUGAGUGUUUCGUUAAAACUCUAAAAAAUUAAACAUGAUUUCAUUAAUUACCCCACUUGUCUUGAAAAGAGAGACUUAUGCUUCGUUUGUAAAUACUUUUAAAAUUAUUGAAAGCGUUUUUAAAGAAAAUGUUUUUGGAUUCGAAAAACACUUAAAAUACUUUGUGGAAGAAGCAUCACUUCAAGUAAUUUUUGAGGAUUCACCUUUUGUUUUUACUAAAGAUUGGUUUCAAAACAUUUUCUCUAAAAUGCAUUUAAUCGUUUUAAAAGCACUUUCUAAUAAGCUCUUAUAUGAAACUGGAAGUGUAACCCAUGUAUAUGAACGUGGGGUAUACACUGUUUCGUGAAGUUUUAGCCCCGAGUUGGGGCGAAAUUUUACCCUUCUUUCCACUCAAUAGUCCGUCGACAUCGAAUAAAACAACCGACACUUUGAAGUCAACAAGUCAAACAAAUCACAAAAUUAUACCUGCUAUACACAUUACCAUCACGUUUUCCUUAGUAUGGCUCGCUUAAGUUAUUUAGGAUUUGUUUGAUAAUCAGUUCUUUUUAUUUAUUUUUAAAUUAAAAGUAGUUACCAAAUAAAUUUUUAAUUUUUAAAAAAUAAAAAGAAAUGAAAAUAGAACGAUUAUUAAACGGUCUUUGGGAAUUUGAAAGUCGUUUCCAUUUUUUUUUUGUGUUGAAAUUUGUUUGUUAACCAUUUCUUUUGCAUGUGAACGAUUUCCUCUUUCGCCUUACAAAAAUUAAAAUAUCUAUUUACGGUCUUCUGUAUGGCAUGGUUUGAAGCGUGUUUUGCAUAUUCUAAAUAAUAAUAAUUGUUGAAUUAUUAGUGAUGGGAGGUCAGUUUUCUUUUGGUAUAUGCAUAGCUUACAUUUUGAUUUUAUUUUAUUUAUUUAUUAUUUUCAAUUGACACGUGAGAACUAUAAUUUGGACCUUGAAAAACUUUAUAAAAUAUAGGACAAUUGUUUUACACAUUCCGAUUAACCAAGUGCAUAAAUACACGUUCACAGUUCAAACUUCAUCACGGUUUCAGCUGACGCUUAGAUAGUCAUUUUUGUUUGUAUUGACUAUGUAUUGUCGUGGUCAGUCAAUAGCCACUGGAAAAUGAAGAUAGAAAAGCAACACAGUAAGACUUGAACGCCAUGUUGUCUUAUAUUUUACUCUAAAUUUUACAUGAACAAUAUCUAAAAAUCAAUUAAACUCCAUCAAAAGUUAUAAAUUGUGACAAUCAAGACUUCAAAAUCAACGUCAACCCAUAAAAACAAGAGAAAUUUUUUAAAAUGUUAUGUGAAUUUAUACACCUUCUUCAAUUUGUCAUAUAUGAACGAAAAUUUUAAGCGAUUUGUCAUACCAACUUUUCGAAUCAUUAAUUUGUCAUCUAACUUUUCCUCCGUUAAAUUUUUCAUUCAAAAUAACUCAUGCGUAAGGCACGCAUAAUAUGUUCAGGAUUAAUAUUUGAGACAUUUCAACGAGUACUGUCCCCUUUGCAUUUAAUAACCACAAAAGGCAUCAAAAUGCCUUUCAUUCGUCUCUGCUUUUUAGGCACCGAAAGGCAAAGGCAUUUGCCUUUCCUUUUUUUUUUCAGUCCGCUUUUCUUUUUGCCGUGUAGGUGGAAAUUUCCGAAGGUAACAGUUGCUUCUCCAAGUCCUUGCCCCCACGGCCACGGCCACCCGCUUUUAGUUCUGUUCCUAUUUUUCAUGCAGGUUACAGACUUGCAGAUAUGGGAUUUGGGAGGGAGAAGACUUCAAAGUCAAGCCACACGUUUACCAUGCCUAUUAAAGUUGCCACAACCAUUCUCAGUUUCUCACAACUUAAUUUCCCUAAGCUUCUCUCUAAACCUCAAAAUAUUAAGUUUAUCCAAGAUGAAACCUCUCUUCCCACUCCCAUAUUUCUUCCUCCUGUUCUUCAUCAUCAUUAAUACUUUCUGUGUUAACAUUGCGGCUGCAGUCCAUGGUCGGUGUUUCGAAGACCAGCAAUUGCUCCAUCUGAAGAAAAGCCUCACCUUUGCUCCCGAGUCAUCUGAGCAUCCUGCUUCAACCAAGUUUAUAUCAUGGAAUUCAAGUACCGACUGCUGUUCUUGGGCUGAUGUUACUUGCAAUGCCAACGGCAGCGUUGUUGGUCUUGACAUUAGUAGCAAAACAUCUCCGGUGGCAUUGACAACUCGAGCACUCUCUUCCAUCUUCAACAUCUUCAAAGCCUCAACUUGGCUGAUAACUCUUUUGUUAACGGCUCACGCAUUCCAUCAUCAAUCGGAAAGCUUACCAACUUGAGGUAUCUAAACUUAUCUGAUUCUGGUUAUUCCGGAAAGAUUCCCAUUGAGAUUUCACGCUUGACAAGGUUGGUUGUCCUAGAUAUUUCUCUAUGUAAACAUCAGUGUGCCACCAAACUUGAGAGCCCGACUUUGAGCAUGCUCUUUCAGAACCUCACAGAGAUUACAGAGCUAUAUCUUGAUGGGAUAAAUAUAUCAGCACAGGGGAGUCAGUGGUGCCAAGCAAUAUCAUCUUCACUCCCAAAUCUGAGGGUGUUGAGCAUGUGUGGAAGCCAGCUCUCAAGUCCUUUUUGUCAGUCCCUCGCAAAACUUCAGUCUCUCUCAGUGAUUCAAUUGGAUAGUAAUGACAUCUACGGUCCAAUUCCAGGAUUCUUUCCCAAGUUGACUUCUUUGAGUCUUUGUAAUUGCAUUCUGAAUGGAACAUUUCCCAAAGAGAUCUUUCAGGUACCUACUUUACAAGCUAUUGACCUUUCCGGUAACAUACAUCUUCAUGGUUCUUUUCCAGAAUUUCUUGAGAAUACAUCUCUUGGAUUUUUGGACCUAAGCCACACAAAGUUUUCAGGGUUAUUGCCUGACUCCAUCGGCAACCUCAAAUUGUUGUCCAUUUUAAAUCUUUAUAACUGCAGUUUUAGUGGAUCAAUCCCUAAGUCCAUGGCAAGCCUAACAAAAUUGUUUUACUUGGACAUGUCGUCAAAUAUGUUUAAUGGUUCGAUUGAUUCUAUUUACUGGAAAAAGCUUGUAAAUCUCGAAUAUUUAGCUUUGGAUUCAAAUUUCCUCACAGGUAGUAUUCCGUCAUCUCUGUUUUCAGAUAAGGAACAUCCUCAAUGUCUGGACAAGUGCAAUAAACACUCAUUACAAGAUUGCCAGGUGCCUUAACAACCUCGCCUGCAACAUGGGCUGCCAUGGAAAGACUGUCCUUCCCACAAUCAAUUGCAAUACCAAGUUCAAUCAUUGCCACUGAAAGAGCUGUAGCAGCAUCAUACAUAGCUGCUUCUUCCCCAUCAAGCUUGGUUGCAUACAUCCAAUUCCCGCUGUCUUUAACAUCAGAUAGAGAAGUGACCUUUGCCCAAACAAGAUUUGUGAGUGCUUCUCCAACAGCCAAUCUCGCCAUUGCUUUUGGAUCCAACAAACCUUUGAUUGGCUACUCCCCAAUGGCACAUGCACCUCCAGUCAUGUCAGUAAAAGUCUGCGCUAUUACUGCAACAACAGAGAGAGGAAUUUGCAACGGCCCAACAGUUUGCUGCUGUGCUACAAGACCUGUAACACACCUGUCUACUUUGGAUGCCAAGAAGCGCUUUGAACAAACAGAUGGAAGUCUCAACACCCUCUUAAGUGAAUCCAUCACUGUUAUUCCAGGAGCAGUAUCAAGUGGUUCUCGUGCAUCAGUCAUCCUGUGGAAUUCAAAACUUUUCUGUGGCAUAUCACCAAGGACUUUCUCAAGCUCCAAAUCGACGGCAGGAGAUGUCUCAUGCAUGAUAACCAUCAUUCAUGGUUUAACAGAAAACAUAAAGGUGCAUUAGUAUUCUGCAGAUUUCAAAAUAAUUGCAGAUAACACAUGAUCAAAUCACCCAAGAUAAAAAAUUUAGCAGAAGAGUUUCAAUUCAAUUGAAUCCAUAUAGUUUUUUUUUUUUUUUUUUGUUAUUUCAAAGUCUUAUCCUUUAAGACCGAACAUAAACCCUCGACUCAAUAUGGAGAAGGACUUUUAAGCAGGAAAGAAUAAAACUUUGCAAUUUAUCAAACAUUCCUUGCACAGAUCCAAUUUAUGAAACAGCGCAGCGGAAUAACCAUUCAAAUUGAUCAUAUCAGUUGCAAGAUUGAUGAAAUUAUAACCCAGAAGCAUGUUUUGUUGGUUAAUGUUCUUAAUUGAAAAGGCCCAAUCGGAAAGAAAACCCCUUCCCUUGAAUUUGCAGAAAAUCCAACCGUAACAUCCUUUGAAAUUCAAACGGUCAUAUAUUUUCAAACAUGUUUUGUCGUUAUUCGCAAGGCAUUAUACUAGAACCUGUGUUCGAUUCCCCAACGCAACAACGAAGAUAUAUUUUUCUCAAUAUUAUUUAUGAUUUGGAACCUACUAGUUUUAAUCACAGAACUUAUAAUUUAUACGACCGAGAAUGGUAAAACGCGGCGUUUUGGAGAAAGGGCGUACCUUUGGCUGUUUCGUCGAUAUCCAUGUCCAUGUUUUGGAAGACUCUGCGAGGCACUUUUGAAUUAACGGCGGAAAAGCAACGGUUUCUUCUUCCACUGGGCUGGAAGCCUGAAGCUUCUAUUGCCGGUGCCUGGUGCUUGCGUAAUGGGACACAUGUCACACAUCGUCGACCCGAAAAUUGACAAGAUCCGAUUCGAUUUGGAUUUUAAUAUCCGUAUUUCAGCCUUUUUGCAAGUGCUAAUGCGUAAAUGAGAAGUAUUUUAUAAUCACGGGCCCCUUUAAAGAUGGGUUUGCUUUAAUUAUUGUUCUAAUUGUUUAACAUUGUUAUUUCGUAAGAAACUAGAAAAUGUGACCCGCGCGUUGCUGAAGGAAGUCAGACUCCUGCGUUGCUGCAACAUUGAAAAUUAUAACAUAUUAUGGUUAAAACAUAUAAAAGAUCAUGUAUCCAAUGAUUGUAGACCUAAUAAUCAUGCACUCAACACUGAACACCUAAAUGUCAUCAAACCAAAGUAAACUUUCAUUUAACUAAGUUAUUAGCACUUCAGUUAAAUCUCAAGUUAAAAAAAAAGUAGUUCAAUUUGACUAAAAUUACACGGAGGGAGAAAGACAGAACAAACAGUUGCUGAAAGGUGUACAACAACACUGAUCCUGCAAGUCAAAUAUGAAAAAUGUUCAAAAGAGUGUAAAAGCUCAAAUUAUUCCUAGCAUCAGUAGAUUAACAAUGAAGAAACAAAAUUCAUUUAAGUUUACAUUGCUUGUCGGUUGGCAAUUCAGCAUGGGAAAAAAUGCAAGAAAAAAAUAUUGUUAAAGCGAAUAAGUGAAUAAGAAUGAACAUUAUAUUUAGUAUAUCAUGAAUAUGCAUGUGCAUGGUAAAUACUAAGCAAGAAUAUGGAUAGGCAAACAGUAACUAUCAAUUAACCAUUUUAAUUAACACUUUAAAAAAAAUUGUUUUAAAGUAUAAAAAAUAUUAUUAAAAAAAUAUUCUAUAUACUAUACAGACACAAUGAGUGAAAAUAUAUACCAUUUGACAAUACAAAAUCAAGCAAUGUCUAAAGAUGAUAAACAGAUCCUAGAUGGUGUUUCUUACAGAAAGCAGAACCAUUAGAUCAUAUGCAUUGAAACAAUUAACAAAUUUUCAAUGGGCAAUACUAAAUGUUUAUUACUUAAGAUCAUUAAAUAAUGACUGCUCACCUUUUCAUCAACCAGUAUACAGCGCAGGCCUAUAUAUUUAUCGGUCGUUUCUGGAAUUCUCGCUCUCCACAUUGUACACAGGACUUGAAGUUUUACUGCCUUUUUAUACGGUUGUAACUGAUUGAUAGGUGUUGGAAUUGCAUCUUCCAUUCAAGCCACUGAAAUUAAAUACAAAUUUUGUAAAUUUGUAAACAGUCAUUACAGAAAGUUUAAAAUAAACGCUGGAACAACCAACAAUUUAUCAAUAGAAAUUUCAUAAUACUAUUGAUUUUGAACACAGAUAAAAAUAAAUAGAUAAAUAAAAUAUCAAAUUUAGUUUAGUCAGUUUAUAUUCAGUUUAUUGUUGUAUUUACGCUGACUAUGAAAUAAUCAUCAUGAAAUGAAAAACACAGAUACAAACCUUAUAUGUGUUCAUUUCUUUUUUUUCAUCAGACCAGUUUUCAUUCUCUAGCUAUUGAGUUUAAUUUUUCUUUCGAUUCACUAUGUAGAUGGGUUCAACCUCCCUUUGUUUUUCCUAGAUUUUUUUCACUGAAAUACAAACCUGUGUGAGUGCUUAAAAACCUGCAUUGGUUAUGGAUAUUAACAGUUGCAUAAUGUAUAUACCUGCAACAUUAGAGCAGAUGAGGAACAGUUAGUAUCAUCAAUAGUACUUGUCAUCAACAUGAACUUAUCAUCCAAAGCGGUAUUAAAUUUGUUUAAUUCUUCAUCACCUAUGAUAUAAAUGAAUAAUACAUCUCAAAAGAAUGAAAAAAAAAAUAUACACAAAAUAUAGUUAACAUUGCUUUGUAAUUUCAUAUCAAAAGGGCAUAAAAAGUUGGUUGAUUCAUUUGUGAACUAAAUUAAAAACAAACUUAAACGUUAAUUUACUAAUGAAGAGGUUGAUUAUUCGAUGAUAAACUUCACAUGCACGCAUUGUGUAUUUAAGGUGAGCAAUUUCAAAAUUUUAUACCUGAGGCACCUGGAACCGUACAUACGAAAGCGCAAAAAAAGAUAGCCACUGCUUCCUGAAAAUAAAAAAGAACCAAAUCAUAUAUACCCACUCUAAAAAUCCAAACACAAACACUAAUCCAUAAGUUAAUUAUAACCAAUUUUUUUUACAGAAAAUAGAUCCGCAAACGAAACACUACUGAAAUAAAUUCUAAAUUUUGUUCAACAAAAAAUUUAAGAGGAGGAACAUAAAUUAUAUACCUUAAUCAGAAAGGGCUUGCAACGUUUCCUGAAAUAAAAAACAACCAAAUCAUACACCAACACUAAAAAUCCAAACACAUAAACGAUGAACACUUGUCCAUGAAAAUUAAAACAACCAAAUCACACACCCACACUAAAAACCCAAACAGACAAAGGAAACCGUAAAAAUUAAUCAUCUGUAUUGUUCUUUUUUAGUAUUUUUAUAAAAAAAAAAAAAAAAAAAAAUUGAACCAGAAACGAAACAGGACCCAAAAAAAUUAAAAAUUUUGUUAAAAAAAAAGAUUUAAGAACAAAACAUAAAUUAUAUACCUCACCCAAAAAUGGCUUGCAAGCUCGUACGAUAAAACCCUAAAAUUCAAAGACCAAUGUUCCCUGCAACCAAAAUCGAAAUCAGAUCAAACAACCAUACACAAAGUACGAAAAAAUUAAGAAAACACUCGGUACAAAAUGCCUAGACUUGAAUUUUACACUAAUCAAUUCAAAAAAUUUCUUGCUAUCCAAACAGAAAAUAAAGAAGCGAAUGAAGCAACGCACCUAAAACGGUGCGAUUGGUUUCUGGAAAAGAGCAGAAAAAAACAGACGAACGACCUUUUUAGACGACCGGAUCGAAAUCUAAACGGAAAGACAGGCGGAGAGAUAUAGAGAGAGCAAAAGAAAAGGAAAAGACAGAAGAGAAGAGGAAAGUGAAAAGUGGAAAGUGGAAGAUGCUUCCAGCCAAAAAAUAAAACAACCAGCCUCUGAACAGAACCCCCCACGAUGAUCAACACGUGGAAGCUAGAGGUACCAAAAGCAGAGUCUAACCAAAAAUUAAAACAAACAAAGGCUAAGCAACAACAUUUAUGGGAGAGAGAGAGAAAACAUAAUAAUUAAAAAAUGAAUGGUAGGACAAACAAAUUAUUUAAAAAAUAGAAGUUAAAUCAGGCCACAUAGUUUGUGGCACACCAAACACUAAAAAAUUAUAAAAAAACUAAGGUAAAAACACAGAAACAGAGAGGAAGAGAAGGGAAAAGCAACGAAAGAAAAUGGAAGAGCCUUCGUGCACCUUCCCCACCAAAAACGACGCACACAGGUAGAGCACGUGACACAAUUAAUUCUCAUCUUCUCCCAACAGGCGAGAUGACAGGGAUGCAGGAAAGCAUGCGAGGGGAAGUCAGGACAGAAAAAGCGAAUAAAUAUCUCAAUUUUUAAUAAUUGUUUUGUCCAUGUAUCUAAUUUUUUUAUAAUUUUUUAAUGUGUUGUUUGCCACAAACCAUUGCAGGAUUUGAGUGGAAGACAAAAAAAAAGCAAAACCUAAAAAUAAAAUAACCUAAAGGCAAAGCAAUGAGAGACAGGCUUCUCAUAAAUUUUAAUAAUUAUUUUAUGCAUGCAUCUAAUUUAUUUAUAAUUUUUUAUUAUGUUUUGUGCCACAUGGAUCGAAGGUGAGAUGGCGACAGGGAUCACAGGGAAGCAGGAAGUCAGGAGAGAAAAAGGAAACAAAUACCUAGAAUCAAAAGGGUAAAACGGCAAAGCCGAGCAACACGCGGGUUAAAAAAAACAGAUAAAGGAAGGGGGUAAAAACGACAUUUCAUGUAGCAUCUUCAAAAUGCCAAAAAAGUGAGCGUUAGAUCAGGGGCAAAACCGGGUGAGCACUGUUAAUGAACAGUGUUUUUCCACCAACGUUUAGUAUAGAUAGAAUUUGUGAGGGCAUUUUCUUAUCAUAUUAGGUAUUUCAAUCGUCUUCCUGUGAUAAUAUUUUCUAUAAUUGUGUUAAAGCUUCCAGUAACCUACGACAUGGUAAAUCUAUAGAAAUUAUAAACUUGAUAAUUACGUUCAUAGCACAAAAGCCUAUACGUACAAUCGUGUUUACUUGGUGUACAAGUAAGGAUCUUUUCAAAUUAGAAAUAUAAUCAGAACCAAAUUACAAUAUUAAUUGCUAAACCUUAAGAGAGACGAUUUCCUUGAACAAGACUCCUUCUCUAACAUCCCAGCAAACUGAACAGGAUGAAAUGAACUUUUUGAGUACCAAGCUUAACAUGUUCACGAACAAAAUGAUAAUCUAACUUGUUUGUACCAUAUUUGACCAAUCCCGAAACUACUGAGCACCGGUCAACGUUAUACCAUCAAGGACCCAGAAGAGUUUCCCUCCAACCAGGAGGUCAAUCACAAUGCGACACGUGUCGACAUCAGAAGUCAAUCACAUCACGACACAUAUCAACAACAACACGACACGUGUCAAUGUCAAAACAAAGUUAGAAACUCUUCUAUAAAAGGAGAUCAUUCUCCCACAAUAUUUCCUAGUCAUUUGUACUAAAUCAUUCACUAGUACUCACUAAAGGAGAGCUUGAACCUAUGUACUUGUGUAAAUCCUUCACAAUUAAUGAGAACUCCUCUACUCCUUGGACGUAGCCAAUCUGGGUGAACGUAUAUCUUCUGUUUGCUUCCCAGUCCCUAUCCAUUUACAUACUUAUCCACACUAGUGACCGGAGCAAUCUAGUGAAGGUCACAAACUUAAUACUUUCUGUUGUACAAAGUCUUCACUGAUUUUGUGCCUCAACGUAACUCAAUAUGCUUUUGUUAAAUUAAUGUUUGGUUUUCAAUGCGAUUGCCGGAGCUUACAGUGAGAAUCUUCCAUUGAUUUGUAUAGUUGGAGGGCCGAACUCGAACGAUUAUGAGACGAACAGGAUUCUUCACCAUACUAUUGGGUUGCCGGACUUUAGCCAAGAGCUGAGAGGCUUUCAGACUGUAACUUGCUAUCAGGUUAGUAUGAAAUCAAGAUUUUGGCUUUUUAAUUUAUUUUGGAAGUUGAAUUUGAUGAUUUUUAUUGGGUUUUGUGAAAGAUUUGUAGUGAGUUUGGUUUUGCUAAAUGUGGAAUGUGGGUUUUUACUUGGAUGUGGUAAAUAAUCACAAGAAUUACCAUGUUUGGUUGUUUAUUUUCUUAUUCAAAUUUAAUUUCAAUGAUUGUUAUUGGGUUUUGAUAAAUUUGGUAAAAAAGUUCAUAGUGAGUUUGAUUUUGCUUAAUUUGGCAUGUGGGUUUCACUAAGCUGUGGUAAAAAAUCUGGAAGUUGUACAUGAAUUUACCAAGUUUGGUUUUGUAUUUGCCAUUUAUUUCAGUCAAUUUUUUUUUUUGGGUUUUGAUGGAUUUGUUGAAGAAUUCAUAUUCAUUUGAUUUUGUUAAAUUAAUGUUUGGUUUUUUGCACUUUCCUGGUUCGUUUUUUAAAGUUUGCUAAUUUUGGUAUGUGGGUUUUUACUAGGCUGUGGUGAAUAAUCUGGAAGAUGCGCAUGAAAUGAUCGAUACCGCAAUUUCAACUGCUUUGAAAGAAAGCAAGCCUGUUUAUAUCAGCAUAAGCUGCAACUUGGCUGGAAUUCCUCAUCCUACAUUUAGCCGGGAGCCUGUUCCAUUUUCUUUAUCUCCAAAGUACACAUUUUUGGGUUUCUGAUUCCAUUUGGUUGAACCGUUCUGGAAAUGCUUAUUUUAGGUGUGAAAUUUAUAUGUUUGUUUGUUUUGGUCUGCAGAUUAAGCAAUAAUUUGGGCUUAGAGGCUGCGGUGGAGGCGGCUGCAGAGUUCUUGAACAAGGCAGUGAAGCCGGUUAUGGUUGGUGGGCCUAAACUUCGAGUUGCACAUGCCGGCGAUGCCUUUGUUGAACUUGCUGAUGCUAGUGGUUAUGCUCUGGCUGUCAUGCCAUCUGCAAAGGGGUUUGUACCAGAGCACCACCCCCAUUUUAUUGGAACAUACUGGGGUGCUGUGAGCACUGCCUUUUGCGCCGAGAUAGUGGAGUCCGCAGAUGCAUACUUGUUUGCUGGACCGAUUUUCAAUGACUACAGCUCUGUUGGAUACUCUUUGCUUAUCAAGAAGGAGAAGGCCAUUGUGGUGCAGCCUGAUCGCGUGACCAUAGCAAAUGGCCCUUCAUUUGGUUGUGUUCUUAUGAAGGAUUUCCUCAGAGCUCUUGCAAAGAAGCUCAGGCACAACAACACUGCUCAUGAGAACUACCGCAGGAUCUUUGUUCCCGAUGGACACCCUCUAAAGUCUGCACCGAAAGAACCUUUGAGGGUUAACGUUCUGUUCCACCACAUCCAGAAUAUGCUGUCAAGUGAAACUGCUGUGAUUGCUGAGACAGGGGACUCAUGGUUUAACUGCCAGAAACUGAAAUUGCCGGCUGGCUGCGGGUAAGCCAAGGAGAGAAUGUAGUUUUCAUGUUUCUUUCUAUGUUAUAUAGUUGAUGAUUUAAUUGGGAAGUUGGAAUUGGGUUUGCAGGUAUGAGUUCCAAAUGCAAUAUGGAUCAAUCGGUUGGUCAGUUGGAGCAACUCUUGGGUAUGCUCAGGCUGUUCCUCAGAAGCGUGUGAUUGCUUUCGUCGGUGACGGGAGUUUCCAGGUACAUUUAAUUUUCUCUAGCACUCUCUAAAUUUUAAAGUACCCUUAACAACCUUAUCAAAUUUUCUCAGUUAAUUACUCAGAUUUGUGGCAUAACAUUUCAUCAAUAUUACGAAUCAUCGGUCUUUUCAAUGUUUUGUUCAUGUGUUUAUGCUUUCAUUGUUUCAAUGCCUAAUAGGUGACUGCUCAAGAUGUGUCCACCAUGAUCCGAAAUGGGCAGAAGACCAUCAUCUUCCUGAUAAACAACGGCGGGUACACAAUUGAGGUGGAGAUCCAUGACGGACCCUACAAUGUGAUCAAGAACUGGAACUACACUGGACUGGUUGAUGCCAUCCACAAUGGGGAGGGCAAGUGCUGGACAACCAAGGUAAUCACUUUGUUAAUGCAUUCUAAUCGUCUCCAUAAUCUAUUCCUCCAACUAAUCAACCAAAGGGUUUCCUGGAUCGUCAAACUCCUUGUAACCGAAUCUGUUAAUUCUGCAGGUCCGUUGCGAAGAGGAGCUGAUCGAAGCGAUUGAGACUGCAACCGGGGCAAAGAAGGAUAGCUUGUGCUUCAUAGAGGUGAUUGUCCACAAGGAUGAUACCAGCAAAAAGUUGCUUGAGUGGGGGUCUAGGGUUUCUGCUGCCAACAGCCGCCCACCCAACCCUCAGUAAAAUUUUCCAUGUCAUUUCCUUUCAUCUACGCAGCGUCAUUCCUUCUCGUUAAGGGUUUCUUAUAUAUGUUUCAAUUUAACACAUUUUCCCGCGGUCUGUGUUUUCAGUUGGAAUUUUUGCUGGUAUUUAUGUAUAUUCCCCUUUGAAUUAAGAGUAUAUUUCUCAUCGUUUAAUUAGUUUAUGUGAUCUGAACGAGCAUUCGACUCAAAACUAAUUUGCGUAUUGCAUAUUAGUGCAAAUCGCAUUUCAAGUCUGAGACGACUUCCAAAUGCGUCUUGUUACGUGUAACGUGUGAAUCUUUUGUAUUUAUACGUGCAUAAUUCUUAUCGAGUGACACAACCAUGAAAAAUGAUAUUCUUAACAACUCCACGUGUUUAAACAACAUUGUUGAUUGUAACUAAUCAUGUGUCUAAUAUCAGGAUUACUUAGGAGCUAAUAUCUUCCAGCAUUGUUCGACCCAAAAUAUUAACCUAAUAAUUAUGUUUAAAUGUGUCAUUGUCGUAACUGGUUAAUUAUCAGUGCUUUAUGAGAAGGAAGGGACAGAAGAGAACCAUUUAUUUACAACUGGAAUCUAUGAAUACAACAAAAUGUGCACCAUUGUUUUUAUUUCGCGAUGUGUUUUUGUUGAUUUGAUUGCGUGGCAAGAUAUAGAAUUCACAGCUUGUUACUGAACAUUUAUUCUGUUUUAUAUUUAGUCCAUGAACUUUAAUCUUAGUUUAGAUUUGAUUCAUAUCACAUAUUUAGAUUUGGAUAUAUGAGACCCACAUGUAUGAAACGUAAUCAUACAAGCAAAACUUUUAAUGGAAGUUAAUGAUAUGGGCCAAUGGUUUGAUGAAUCCUAUCCAACUUUCAGGCAUUAAGAUACAUUUCAGGAAUGGAUGGUUAUCAUAAAGGAUUCCCAGCAUAUCAUAGGAUUUCCUUUUGUGAAAAUCCGCACUUUUUCAAACCUAGAAAACAGACGGGAUUCUAGGAUUCCUUCUUGGGGCAAAUACUUUUAUGCAUUCCUCUUGCGGUUGAUCUAAAUGACUUAAAUUGCUCCGAAUUACUAUUUUCAUGGUUCUUGAUUGAAGAAAGUUGAUGUUUUGCCAUAAACUAAUUGACUAUAUAUAAGUAGCCCAACUUAGUUAUAAGCCAAUGCAAGAUCCCUCAUCCACUCACCGUGAGAUUUAUUCUCAACACGUCUCUUCACGUGUGACAAAUUUUCAAGCUUAGCAUGUGAAUAAUACAAAUCAAGUGACAUGUUGCAUCAAUGGCAGUUUGGUUUCACCCACAAGACAAACUUGCACUGAUACUAAAAGAAAGUUGAGAUUCUACCAUAACAAAAUUGAAAUAUUAGAAGUAACCCAACUUACUUAUAAGCAUAUGCACAGUCUCUCUUCCUUUAAUGUGAAAUUCAUUCUCAACACAAAUUGCUGUUUAUUUGUGUUCUCGUUUCUUAGUUGCAUGAGAAGUCAAUCAAGGUGUAGGCAGUGAGAAUUUUUUUUAUUUUUUUAUAUUUUUUUAUUUAUUGAAACAAGCAGUGAGAAUCUUUACCAAAUCCAAUUCCGAACCUUAGCCGGUAACUGAUAGCAUAUUCUAGGUCCUCCUCCAUCAGCGGUGUGUGGAUUUUCUUGGAAAUUGACGUCGAUAGGGAAUCAUCUUUGUUAGCCAUGCAUCAUUGUCCGCCAUGUUGUCAAACAAUUGCUCGAAUAAACCAAAUAGACGGCACCUGGUAGGAAAAGUGGGAUACCCAUGCGGCAUCAUUGUACUGGGGUGCUUUGAUAUUUGUUUGAUACUCAUUUGUAGUGUGUUUGUAGAGCGAUUUUUCAGUAUGAUCGGAAUACGGAAUAGUACAUUACAUGUCAUUAUAUAAGUGAUGAGAUAUUUGUGUUUAAAAAUUAACAAUUUUAAAAAAAAAAUUUCCUACAAAAAUAAAAUUUCUCACCACUUAUAUAAUAAUACGUGAUGUAUCAUUUGUAUUCUGAGCACAAUGACAAAUUUCUCGUGCUGAGACUCCACAAUAAAGGCCAAUGAUGUAGAUAUCUUACCAAAAUAAAUAAGUUAGGUGAUUUUUACUAAGCCACUAGGAAUAGCCUAGUGGUGAGGAUGUGGGUAAGGGGUGGGGUAGUUCUAGGUCCCAGGUUCGAAACCUGGUGUGUGUGUUUGUGUUUGUGUGGGUGGUGGAGGGUAAUUAAAAAAAAAAAAAAAAAAAAAAGUUAGGUGAUUUUUACACUGCAUGUAAACGCAUAUACGCAUUUCCCGUGAAGAAUGCAAGUAUUAUCCUUGUUAAUGCAAGUAUUAUCCUUGUUUUCGUAUACAUCUUUCUUUCUAACCGUUGAGAUUAAGACUCAACGAUUAUAAAGAGUCACGUGGACUAAAAUCUUAUAUAAAAUCUUGGUAAUUAGUUCUCAAUUUUACACGUGUCAUAACCAAAAUAUUUGUCGGUACACACUUCUUAAAAAAAUUGUUCCAGAACAUAUAUUUACAUAGGUGUAAAUAUUAGUUUAGUUAUGUAGACAAUACAUAGUAGUUGAUGUGUGAGUGAUGUACCAUAAUAUUUCUCAAUAUGCUAACAAGUAAUAAAAUAUUGAGAAGAAUAAAAUAUAGCCCUUGUAUCAGGAGCUAAAGGAGUAGACUAAGUCUCAUAAAAUAGGCUAGUAAUAAUAAGGUUUAAAUUCGUCUUUAACGAGAAUCGAAUCUUAACUUCUCACUUACAAGUAAAAAAGAAUAUUACUAAACCCGUACCUAGUACUAAGUAUCAACUAUUGGAGAUGGCCUAAUGUUUGGUGUGUAUAUUUAGGAACGGGAGCUAAAUACUUGACAACUAUGGAGUUCAAAAACGCUGUAAUUUUGACAACUAAAAACGAAAUGGUAAUCAAAUGGUAAUCAUGAAAAUGCAUUUUGUUACUACUAACCUCUGCGAGAACACAAAUUUGUGAAGAUUGAGAUUCAUGAAAAGGCAUACCAAGGAUCACAAUGCAAUACCGUUUAAGCCACCAAAGAGCAUUCGUCUAUUUACAACAAAAUUUCGAUGAGAUGCGAUGGAUUUUACACCUACGGAUCAAUGCUUACAUUGCUUCGUGCGUGAACAAGACAACCAUUUUGGAGCAGGGUGCUCGACAGUUGGUAAUGUGAGAUUUUAAUCGCGGUAUGUUGGGGUGAGCGCUUCUACAUCGGUGGCAUCGGAGCUCCAUAGACAACAGUCUAUCAUCAUCUUUUAGCUUUGCUUUUCCAUCACUAGUGACUUCCUCUACUGCAUCCAUGGAGUCUCGAAAGAAAGCAGUGUUGAAGGAGUUCCACUGUUUCUUGUUCUUCAAAUGUGUUGAAUCGAAAUCCUGGCUAACAACAUGCAGAUGCAGCUGUCGCAUUGAGGGAUCCUGCAAGAGAUGAUAUCCCGAAAAUUCAAGUUUAUUAUUUACAUCUAGUCUGAUGUAUUAAUACUAACCUCACCAGCCCUUUAGCAAAAAGGAUUUCGAGAGGCAAUGUUGGAGAAAACGAAUAUAACAGCAAGCUCUAAGAAAAGUAGCAUGUGUACCGAGUGAUAUCCAAGACGGAAGACCAAACAUGAAUCAUCAUGCAAGUUGGAAUUGCGGUUGGGUCAUUUGUGUUGUGCAAGAGACGGAGUAAAUGGUACUACAUAGCUAAGUAUGUUGAGAAAGUCAAGGAUCAUCAUCAAGAUACUUGCCAUAUAUAUUGUAAUUAAUUAUAUUCCUAUUUUGUAUUAUGAGCUGUCUAUUAGUAGCUAGUUUGUAGGAAUUGAUUGUAAAUAUAUGACUACAUAUAGUAGUAUUGUAAAGACAAUUUCAAUUAAUGAGAAUCGGUGAAUUACCACCUUCCAAAAUUUACAUGGUACCAGAGCCUUUCCUGGGUUCUUAGUUCUUUUUUUCUUGGAUUAUGGUGGAGGAUUCAACGUCAGCAAUGGCUAAACUUGAACCAUCUAGUGAUCCUGCUAGUCCUUUCUUCGUUCAUCAUUCUGAUCACCCGGAAAUGAUGCUCGUUUCAACCAAACUUACCAGUGAAAAUUAUGGCACUUGGUGUCGUUCCAUGUCAAUUGCACUCAGUGCAAAGAACAAAUCAGGGUUUGUUGAUGGCAGUGUUGAACAACCAUCUACGAAGACAAAGCCCACAGAAUCUGCUCUUUGGCAACGGUGCAACGACAUGAUCCUUAUGUGGAUUAUCAAUACACUUUCCAGUGACCUGGCCACCAGUGUGGUGUACAUGACGACAACCAAAGAUGUUUGGGAUGAUAUUCGAGAACGUUUUUCUCAACAAAACGUGUCUCAUCUCUUUGAAAUCCAACGUGAACUUGCACGUCUUACACAGAGUCAACAACCUAUCAACGUGUAUUUCACCAAGCUUAAAGGUUUGUGGGAUGAGAUGGAUUCCUACCAAACUUUAAAGCCGUGUUCUUGCGGGGCUCUUCAAUCUAAUAACGAACAGGUGGAGAGAACCAAGGUUUUGCAGAUUUUAAUGGGGUUAGACGACUCGUAUUCUGCGAUUCGUGGGCAGAUCUUACUUAUUCAACCAUUGCCUUCGAUUCGAUCUGUCUAUUCCAUGUUGACACAAGAAGAGAAGCAGAGAGGCAUGGCUGUUAGGCCUCGCCUCGUUGAACCUGCAUCUAUGGCUGUUCAAACGAGCCAUGGCAACAAUGGCAACCAUGGAAAAGGAAGAUCAUCCGAGAGGAAGCCACUGCAUUGCUCAUACUGCGAUAAGGAUCAUCACGUUAUUGAAACGUGUUGGAAGCUCCAUGGCUAUCCACCGGGACACCGUCUUCAUGGUAAGUCCAGUAGUUCGAGUGGUUCUGGUGGGCGCUCCACCGCUGCACCGAGCGGCAAACCAGCUGUCAACAAUGUGGCCUCCACCGUUGCACUGUCCAUGCCCAACCUCACCACCGACCAAUUUCAGCAACUCUUAUCCAUGAUGAGUCAAAAGAUGGGUCUUGAUUCCAAGGCUAAUCUAGCAGGUGGGCCUCCUUCUUUCCAAUGGGUUAUAGACAGUGGUGCCACUGACCACAUAUCUAGUCUCCCAUUGACUAAUGCAACCUCAAAUCCUCAUCUACCACCUAUGGCAUUACCUAAUGGGACUCGGGUUCCUAUCAAUUCUAUUGGCACAUACAAUUUUGGUUCCCAAAUAUCUCUUUCUAAAGUGCUUGGCAUAGCUUCUUUUUUGAUCAACUUAAUUUUCGUUAGUCGGAUCACUCGAUCGUUGAGAUGCUCAAUAACCUUUUAUCCUGAUUUUUUUAUUUUACAGGACCUGGAGACGAGGACGAUGAUUGGUUGGGGGCGACAACAUAAUGGACUUUAUUAUUUGAUGGACUCCAAAGGGCGGACAUCACCUACAACUACCAAGGUUUUUUCCGUCACGUGGCACCGACGACUUGGUCAUCCUUCACCCUUGAGACUCCAACUCUUAGCUAAACAUUUUCCUGAAAGUUCAUUUUCUGAAAAUAAACCUUGUGACAUUUGCCCUUUGGCAAAACAAACUCGAUUGUCUUUUGGAUUAAGUCAUAUUAAUACUAAGCAUGCUUUUGAACUUAUACAUUGUGAUAUUUGGGGUCCCCAUAGAGUAGCAUCCUGUUCGGGUGCUCCUUAUUUCCUUACUAUUGUUGAUGAUUUUACUCGUUGCACUUGGGUUUAUCUCAUGCGUCAUAAAUCAGACACUCAAUCUUUGCUUAAAUCUUUCAUUGCCUAUGCUGAAACACAAUGUCACUACAAAAUUAAAACCAUUAGAACUGACAAUGGCGGCGAAUUUGUUUCUAUGAUUCCUUUCUUUAAUGAUCAUGGCAUACUUUUUCAACGCUCUUGUGUUUCCACCCCUCAACAAAAUGGGGUUGUGGAGCGCAAGCAUAUACAUAUUCUUCAAACUGCACGAGCUUUGCAUUUUCAGUCACAUAUUCCCUUGCACUUUUGGGAUGAAUGCAUUUUCACAUCCAUUUGCCUAAUUAACCGCAUUCCCACCCCUCUCUUAUCGGGUCUUACGCCUUAUGAGAAAUUAUUUGGCCACCCUCCUUCAUAUACCCAUUUACGCACUUUUGGGUGUUUAGCAUAUGCCACUAAUCUUCACCCCCACCAUAAGUUUGAUGCUCGGGCUAAGAAAUGUGUUUUCAUUGGGUAUCUUUUUGGCCAAAAAGCUUACAAAUUAUAUGAUCUUCAUUCCAAACAAAUUUUUACUAGUCGAGAUGUCACAUUUCAUGAGAAUAUUUUUCCAUUCCACCCAAAUCCUCACCCCUCAACAGUUACCCCGCACCCACAUACUGACCCAAACAAUGUCCCCAUCCCUUCCCACAUAGACCACCCCACUACCGACCCGGGCCUUUCUCCUGGCCCAGCACUAGUCCCACAAAUACCCACCUCUGCCACUGACGGGCUUGACCAAGUCUCAGUUCUUCCUGAUGGGCCUGCUCUCUCUCUGGACCCGUGUCCACCAUUUGCCCAGCCUUCCGCUGCAUCUCCUGCUCCUUUGCGCCAUUCCAGUCGCAUUCAAGUUCCGCCGACCAAGCUCCAUGAUUAUGUUUGUCCGACUAUUCCGUUGCCCCCCGCCAACUCCUCGCCUUCCAGUCCUCGUACAAGGUAUCAUCUUUCUAAUUAUUUGUCCUAUCAAGGGCUCUCUCCCAAGUAUCAAUCCUUCAUUGCACAAUUGUCUACUGUUUUGGAGCCUAACAGUUAUACAGAAGCUGCCAAACAUCCCCAUUGGUGCAAGGCCAUGGACGAGGAACUCCAGGCGUUUCAGGCCAAUGACACUUGGACACUUUCUCCUCUCCCUUCCGGGAAGGUACCAAUUGGCUGUCGGUGGGUUUAUAAAAUCAAAAGAAAAUCUGAUGGGAGUAUUGAGCGUUACAAAGCUCGGUUGGUUGCUAAAGGUUACACCCAAUUAGAAGGUAUUGACUAUCAUGAUACCUUUUCUCCCACGGCCAAGCUUGUCACUUUCCGCUGCUUACUUGCUCUUGCUGCUACUCACUCAUGGUCACUUCAUCAACUUGAUGUCCAUAACGCAUUCCUUCAUGGUGAUCUCAUGGAGGAAAUCUACAUGCUUCCCCCGCCUGGUCUUCGGCGACAGGGGGAGAAUUUGGUGCGUCGCCUUAAUAAGUCGAUUUAUGGGUUGAAGCAAGCUUCUUGGCAAUGGUUUUUCAAGUUCUCACAAGCUAUUCGAUCAGCUAGUUAUGUUCAAUCUAAAACAGACUACUCACUUUUCACUAAAAGAAGAGGGAAGUCAUUUACUGUGCUUCUCAUCUAUGUGGAUGACAUACUGAUAACGGGGAAUGACUUGAAAGCAAUUGAUGAUCUCAAAUCCUUUUUGAAUACCAAGUUUCGUAUCAAAGAUCUUGGUAAUUUGAAAUAUUUUUUGGGAAUUGAGGUGGCACGAUCGAAACAAGGUAUUUUCAUUUCACAAAGAAAGUAUUUAUUGGAUAUCCUAAAUGAUGUUGGUUUUCUAGGAUCACGGCCUGCAAGCUUUCCUAUGGAACAAAAUCUCAAAUUACUCCCUGAUGAUGGGCAUGCAUUGGAUGAUCCAGUCAAGUACAGAAGAUUGAUUGGUCGGUUGAUAUAUCUCACUAUAACCCGACCGGAUAUUACAUAUUCAGUUCAUUUAUGGAGUAGAUUCAUGCAAUCACCUCAAAAGUCUCAUUAUGAAGCAACUUUACGCAUCUUAAAGUAUUUGAAAGGCACACCAGGGCAAGGCAUGAUGUUUCCAUCUCAAAAUUCAUUGAAGUUAAAGGCAUAUUGUGAUUCCGAUUGGGCAGGAUGUCCUACCACUCGGCGUUCCACUACUGGUUAUUGUGUUUUCCUUGGAAAUAGUCUUAUUUCAUGGAAAAGCAAAUGAUAGAAAACUGUAUCCUUAUCUUCUGCUGAAGCUGAAUAUAGAUCCAUGGCAGCAGCAUGUUGUGAGCUUGCGUGGCUCCAAAGCCUUUUUCGAGAUCUUCAAGUUCAAGACCAAGGGUCGGCUACCUUGUUAUGCGACAAUCAAGCCGCUCUCCAUAUUGCUGCAAAUCCGGUAUUUCACGAGCGAACAAGGCACAUUGAGAUUGAUUGUCAUUUUGUUCGAGAUAAGAUUAUGGAAGGAAAAAUUGUGACGGGAUUUGUUCCUUCCAUAUCACAACUUGCUGAUUUGUUCACUAAAGCUCUUGGGAAGGAAAUAUUUCAUUCUUUGCUAGGCAAGUUGGGAGUUCGAAACAUUCACUCACCAACUUGAGGGGGAGUGUUGAGAAAGUCAAGGAUCAUCAUCAAGGUACUUGCCAUAUAUAUUGUAAUUAAUUAUAUUCCUAUUUUGUAUUAUGAGCUGUCUAUUAGUAGCUAGUUUAAAGGAAUUGAUUGUAAAUAUAUGACUACAUAUAGUAGUAUUGUAAAGACAAUUUCAAUUAAUGAGAAUCGGUGAAUUACCACCUUCCAAAAUUUACAAAGUAUAAAAUCCUUGUUAAGAUAUUCCCUCAUUUUGAUGAAAGAAUUGGUCAUCACCGAAGACAUGUUCACAUAAAUCAAAGGCCAAGACAUUGAAAUUGUUCUGAGGGGCAAUGCAGCUGGCCUCGUUGUUCUGCCUGUGUUUGGCAAGAAACAAGAGAUAUGCUUCUGCUGUCACAUAAGUAUAAAGUACAAGAUGUAGUGUGAGCUUGUUCUGUUACUUUUUAAUAUUUUGAUGUUGCAAGUUUUUAAUCGUAAAAGGUAGAUAACAAAGACAUAUUUGCAAUCAAAAUUUUCACUGUUUUUUAUUCGUCUUUUCGAUACAAGAAUCAACAUUAUUCAUUACCAGAAGGACAUAUUCGCGAACAAAUUUUCGUAAGUACGGAAUUUGACACAAAGUACAAAUCAUAAACUACGAAAAACAGAAUUGUUUGGUGAUCCAAGCAACACUAAGGGCUGGUUUGGUAUUGCUGUGCUUUGAAAAAAAGUUGCUGUGAGAAUAAGCGGCUGUGCUGUGAGAAUAAGCGGCUGUGAAAUAAAGCCAGUAGAGUGUUUGGUAAACUUUUUUGUGAAAGUGCUUUUGGAAAAAAAAGCAGGAUGAUAGUGUGUCUUUUCAUUAAAGGAGCACUGUAGCUCCAUGUGUUUUGAAAAAACUGGCUUUUUUUCAAAGCAGCAAAUAGCAGCUUCAGCUUUUCCUUUGAUUUUCAGCUUAUUCUCACAGCAGCUUCCAAAAUAAGCCCUUUUUUUCAGUUUACCAAACACAAAAAUGACCCUCAGCUUUUUUUCACAGUGGCUUUUUUUAAAAUCACCUCAAUCCCAAACGGGGCCUAAAUCAAACAGUUUUAUUUAAUCGAGCUUCAUUUUACUGUGUCUUCACUUUUUUAGGCUUUGGUUCCUAGCUCUUUCUUUUACGGUUUCUCCUCUUCUGUUUAAUAUCAUGAACAUUUACUCUGUUAUAUCUUUGAUUUUUCUGGAUGAAGACUUCCUAGUCAAGCAAAACGACGACAAAUCUGAUGGAGAUAUUUUCCACAACAUUAAAGCCGCCACCGCAUCAAUACAAGCUGAGUGGGAGAAUCCCUUCGUAUUCCGGUGACCUACGGCAUGUUAAAUCCAUGGACAUGUCGAGUUCCACCAGAGUGCGAAACUUACUUUCCAUUCGCUUUUUGAAUCUCUCAAAUAAUCAGCUCGUCGGUAGGAUCUCAAUGGGUACUCAGCUUUCGACAUUUCCAAUAGCUUCCGUUACAGGAAACAAAGGAUUAUGGAGUCCACCUUUUAACGGUGGAUACAAAGCAGAAUUGUCAUCACCACCAACAUUCACUUGUCAUCACCACCAAACAUUGAAUGGACGCCUUCCAAAUUCUGGACAUCGUCAUGAGAUACUUGCGAUCUUUAUGUUUGAAUUUGUUAAGACCUCUCUCCGUAUACUUUCCUCAUUUAUCAAGCACAAAAAAAAAAUAUGAAAACCAAAGUCAAAAUGAAAUGGUUAUCAUGAAAUGCUUUAAUCCACUUGUAGAAUUAAACACAAUUUCAUUAAUUAUCCCACCUGUAGCCUUGUAAAAGAGAUACUUAAGCAUGGUUUGAAAGUGUUUUUAAAAUAAUUGAAAUCGCUUUUAAAGCAAAUGUUAUUAAGUUUUAAAACCAUUUGAAGUGCUUUUUGGAUCGAAGAAGCACCACUUCAAAUGUUUUUUCCAAGAUUCACUUGCGUUUUUACUAAAAAUUGAUUCCAAAAAUAUUUUUACUAAAAUGACUUUCGGUUAUUUUAAAAAUACUUUCAAACAAGUUAUUAAAUAAAAUCAAGAGGAUAAUGCAUAUAUCUGAACGUAGGGAUUACACUCCCUUGCAUGAAGGUUUAGCCCCUCUCUUGUCAACAUUGAAAAACACAACCCACAAUUUAAACCCCACAAGGAAUAUGGGGAAAGACUUUGAAGUCAACAAGUCAAGCAAACCACAAAUUUGGUAGAAACCAUCACCACCUUUUUCUUAGCGUCUCUAAGAGCCAUACAUACACAUGUUAAUCCAUUAAGUCACUUUAGUUAUUUAGAAUCCGUUUGAUAAUUAUUAUUUGUGUUUUUGUAUUUUUAUUUUUUAAAAUUAAAAGUAGUUACUAAAUAAGUUUUUAAUUUAAAAAAAAAGAUAAACAAAAUGGUUAUUAAACAACCUAUUGGAGCAUGGAAAUUAUUUUAUAUUUUGUUUGUAGUUUUCACUUUUUUGUACUUGAGAUAAGGGAAAAUGGGAGAUGAAAUGGUUAUACAUGUAGAUGUUGUGCAGUGCAAAACUAAAAUUCAAAUUACAACCACAUCACAACAAAUCACAGUUCAAUAAAAUGGGGUAUUGUGUGAAAAUUAAAAUGUGGCCCUUUCACUCACAAGACUUUUUUUUGUGUGUUUAAAAGAUUUUUUUUUCUUCUAUGGCAUAUUUAUAGAAGUACAAAAUUUAGUCUGAAAGUCAACUUUGUAACACAAUAUCUUCUACUGAAUAAUAGAUAUAGAAGAAUUUAAAGGAAGACAUAUGUUAAAGAAAUGAAGUUUUUAACCAAGAAAAAAAUAUAUAAAAAGAUACAGUAUUUCUAAAACAAAAAACCAUUUGGGUAUUUUUCAAAUUUGUACUUAGUUAAGUUAUGCAUAUAUAGUUUUUUUUUGGAAUAUAUAAAACUGAAAUAUGUAUAUAUAUAUAUAUAUUAUAUGGAAGCUAAUCUAAAGUAUUUGUUCAAUUUAUCCAGUUAGUAACAUCACCUUAAUCGCUUUUGUAGAAUGCCGCUUCCAACCAAAUAAAUUAAAGGAAAACUAAUGAAAAGGGUUUGAAAACUUUGAGUUUUAACGAUAAGAACAAAAUAAAGGGUAAAAUGAAUAGUACCAUGAUUGACUUUUUAAUGUAAAAAUGUGGUUUUUCGUUAAAGUGAACAGUACCGGGAACUUUUCGUUAAAAUUCCCAUAAAUUAAACAUGAUUUCAUUAAUUACCCCACUUGUAGCCUUGUAAAAGAGAGACUUAGUACAGAUUUGGUACUAAUGUGCUUUCAUAAAAAAUGGGUAUAAAAAAAAGCUGAGCUAAAAAAGGUGUUUGGUAAACACUUAAAUACAACUUAUUUUCAUAGUUUUGAUGAGGGAAAAAAAUCUAAAAAUGUAAAGUAGCAAAAAUGAGCUUAUUCUCACGGCACAUCAGAAACAAUUUUUUUUUUCAAAGCACAACAAUAUCACCAGCCCUUAGGCUUUGUUUGGAAGUGCUUUUAAAAUUAUUGAAGACGCUUUUAGAGAAUGUUAUUGGGUCCUAAAAAUGCUUGAAGUGGUUUGUAGAAGAAACAUCAUUUCAAGUAAUUUUCCAAGAUUCACUUUUUUUUUUUACUAAAGAUUGGUUCUAAAUUUUUUUUACUUCUAAAAAUGUUUUUAAUCGUUUUAAAAAUAGUUUCAAACUAGCUUUUAUAUGAAUCUAGGAGUAUAACGCAUAUCUGAACGUGGGGUAUACACUGUUUCGUGAAGUUUUAGCCCCUCCGUAGGGGCAAAAUUUUACCCUCUCUUUUCCACUCAAUAGUCUGUCAACAUUGAAUAAAACAACCUAUAGUUCAAACCCCACAAGGGUGGGGAAAGACUUUAAAGUCAUCAAGUCAAGCAAACCACAAAAUUAUACCCCUGUACAUACAUUACCAUCACCACGUUUUCUGUAGUAUGGCUCGCUUAAGUUUCCGCCAUUUUGUCAAACAAUUGCUCGAAUAAUCCAAAUAGACGGUACCUGGUAGGAAAAGUGGGAUAGCCAUGCGGCAUCAUUGUACUGGUGUGCUUUGAUAUUUGUUUGAUACUCAUUUGUAGUGUGUGACCAGAGUACGGGGUAGUACAUUACGUGUCACUAUAUAAGUGGUGAGAUAUUUGUGUUUAAAAAUUAACAACUUAAAAAAUAAAAUUUCUCACCACUUAAAUAAUAACAUAUAGUAUACCACUUAUAUUCUGAGCAUAAUAAAAAAUUUCUGAUGCUUAUGAAACUCCACAAUAAAGGCCAAUGAUGUAGAUAUCUACACAAAUAAAUAAGUUAGGUGAUUUUUACACUACAUGUAAACGCAUAUGUGCAUUCCCCAUGAAGGAUGCAAGUAUUAUCUUUGUUUUCGUAUGCAUCUUUCUUUCCAACUGUUGGGAUUAGGAUUCAACGAUGAUAAAGAGUCACGUGGACUAAAAUCUUAUAUGAAAUCUUGCUAAUUAUUUCUCAAUUUUACACGGGUCAUACCCGAAAUAUUUGUCGGUAUACACUCCUUAAACAAAUAUGUAAAUAUUAGUUUAGUUAUGUAGACAAUACAUAGUAGUUGAUGUGUGAGUGAUGUGCCAUAAUAUGAAUCCAGAUUUCUCCGGAUUUAAAAAAACUGAGCCUAAGGAUCAAAUGAUCCAGGCCAUUGAAAUUUGAUCUAAUUGCUACAAUUAUUAUAAUUUUUAGAGGGAUCCCCUGUUUGUAGCUGUUUGAUCAAAUUUCAAGGGCCCGAAUCAUUUGAUCCUUAGGCUUAGUUUUUUUAGAUCCGAAGAGGAUCUGGGUUCCCAUAAUAUUUCUCAAUAUGCUAACAAGUAAUAAAAUAUUGAGAAGAAUAAAAUCUAGCCCUUGUACCAUUGGAGAUGGAAAAUUAUAGCUAUGCUCUAUUCAAUUUUUUUUUUUAAACAAACUAUAUUAUCUACACUAAAGGGCUGAGAGAGUAAGCUAAGUCUCGUAAUGGGCUAACAAUAAUGAGGUUCAAAUUCGCAUUUGACAAGAAUCGAACAUAAGACUUCUGACUUACAAGUAAAGAAGAAUAUUACUAAACCCGUACAGUACUACUAAGUAUCAACUAUUGGAGAUGGCCUAAUGUUUGGUUGUAUAUUUAGGAGCGGGAGCUAAAUAUAUGACUACCAAGGAGUUCGAAAACGCUGUAAUUUCGACAACUAAAAACGAAAUGGUAAUCAUGAAAAUGCAUUUUAUUACUACUAACCUCUGCGAGAACACAAAUUUGUGAAGAUUGAGAAUCAUGAAAAGCCAUACCAAGGAUCACAAUGCAAUACCGUUUAAGCCACCAAAAAGCAUUUGUCUAUAUACAACAAAAUUUCGAUGAGACGUGAUGGAUUUUACACCUACGGAUCAAUGCUGACAUUGCUUGGUGCGUGAACAAGACGACCAUUUUGGAGCAGGGUGCUUGGAAAGGGGGCUCGACAGUUGGUAAUGUGAGAUUUCAAUCGCGUUAUGUUGGGGUGAGCGCUUCUACAUCGGUGGCAUCGAAGCUCCAUAGACGACAGGCUAUCAUCAUCUUUUAGCUUUGCUUUUCCAUCACUAGUGACAUCCUCUACUACAUCCAUGGAGUCUCGAAAGAAAGCAGUGUUGAAGGAGUUCCACUGUUUCUUGUUCUUCAAAUGUGUUGAAUCGAAAUCCUGGCUAAUAAAUUGCAGAUGCAGCUGUUGCACUGAGGGAUCCUACAAGAGAUGAUAUCCCGAAAAUUCAAGUUUAUUAUUUACAUCUAGUCUGAUGUAUUAAUACUAACCUCACCAGUCCUUUAGCAAAAAGGAUUUCGAAAGGCAAUGUUGGAGAAAACGAAUAUAACAGCAAGCUCUAAGAAAAGUAGCAUGUGUACCGAGUGAUAUUCAAGACGGAAGACCAAAGAUGAAUCAUCAUGCAAGUUGGAAUUGAGGUCGGGUCACCUGUGUUGUGCAAGAGGCGGAGUAAAUGGUACUACAUAGCUAAGUAUAUAAUCCUUAUUAAGAUAGUCCCUCAUUUUGAUGAAAGAAUUGGUCCUCACCGAAGAAUGUUCACAUAAAUCAAAGGCCGAGACGUUGAAAUUGUUAUGAGGGGCAAUGUAGCUGGCCUCCUUGUUCUGCCUGUGUAUGGCAAGAAAUAAGACAUUUGCUUCUGCUGUCACAUAAAUAUAAAGUAUGAGAUGUAGUGUGAGCUUGUUCUGUUACUUUUUGAUAUUUUAAUGUUGCAAGUUUUUAAUUGUAAAAGGUAGAUAAGAACGACAUAUUUGCGAUCAAAUUUUUCACUGUUUUUUAUUCUUCUUUUCGAUACAGGAAUCAACAUUACUCAUUAUCAGAAGGACAUAUUCGCCAACAAAUUUUCGUAAGUACGGAAUUUGACACAAAGUACAAAUCAUAAACUACGAAAAACAGAAUUGUUUGGUGAUCCAAGCAACACUAAAUCAAACAGUUUUAUUUAAUCGAGCUUCAUUUGACUGUGUCUUCACUUUUUUUGGCUUUGGUUCUUAGCUCUUUCUUUUACGGUUUCUUCUUUUUUGUUUGUAUUGCUCUGUUUGUUUGAUAUCAUGAACAUUUACUCUGUUAUAGCUUUGAUUAUUCUAGAUGAAAACUUCCUAGUCAAACUAAACGACGAAAAGCCUGAUGGAGAUAUUUUCCACAACAUUAAAGCUGCCACUGCAUCAAUACAAGCUGAGUGGGGGAAUCCCUUUGUAUUCCGGUGACCUACGACAUGUUAAAUCUUUGGACAUGUCAAGUUCCACCAGAGUGUGCGAAACUUACUUUCCUUUUGCUUUUUGAAUCUCUCAAAUAAUCAGCUCGUCGGCAGGAUCUCAACGGGUACUCAGCACAUUUCCAAUAGCUUCCGUUACAAGAAACAAAGGAUUAUGGAGUCCACCUUUUAACGGUGGAUACAAAGCAAAAUUGUCAUCACCACCAACAUUGAAUGGACGCCUUCCAAAUUCUGGACAUUGUCAUGAGAUACUUGCGAUCUUUAUGUUUGAAUUUGUUAAUACCUCUCUCCGUAUACUUUUCUCAUAUAUCAAGCACAAAAAAGUGAAAGCAAAAGUCAAAAUGAAAUGGUUAUCAUGAAAUGCUUUAAUCCACUUGUAGAAUUAAACACAAUUUCAUUAAUUACCUCACCUGUAGCCUUGUAAAAGACACUUAAUCAUAGUUUGAAAGUGCUUUUAAAAUAACUGAAAGCGCUUUUAAAGAAAAUAUUUUUAGGUUUCAAAAAUACUUGAAGUGCUUUUUGGAUCGAAGAAGCACCACUUCAAGUACUUUUUCAAAAAUUCACUUACGUUUUUACAAAUGAUUAAUUCCAAAAAUAUUUUUACCUAAAAGACUUUCAGUUAUUUUAAAAAUACUUUCAAACAAGUUAUUAAUUAAAAUCGAGAAGAUAAUGCAUGAGUUUGAACGUGGGGAACACACUCCCUUGCGUGAAGUUUUAGCCCCUCUCUUGUCAACAUUGAAAAAACAACCCACAAUUUAAACCCCACAAGGAAUAUGGGGAAAGACUAUGAAGUCAACAAGUCAAGCAAACCUCAAAAUUGGUACGUUUUUCUUAGCGUCUCUAAGAGCCGUACAUACACACGUCAAUCCAUUUGAGUCACUUCAGUUAUUUAGAAUCCGCUUGAUAGUAAUUAUUAUUUGUACUUAAUUAAGUUGUGCAUAUAUAAUUUUUUUUGGAAUAUAUAAAACUGAAAUAUAUAUAUAUAUAUAUUAUAUUGGAAGCUAAUCUAAAGUAUUUGUUCAAUUUAUCCAGUUAGUAACAUCACUUUAAGCGCUUUUGUAGAAUGCCGCUUCCAACCAAAAAAAUUAAACAUGAUUUCUUAAUUACCCCAUUUGUAGCCUUGUAAAAGAGAGACAUAGAUUUUGUUUGGAAGUGCUUUUAAAAUUAUUGAAAGCACUUUUAGAGAAUGUUAUUGGGUCCUAAAAAUACUUGAAGUGCUUUGUAGAAGAAGCAUUACUUCAAGUGAUUUUCCAAGAUUCACUUUUAUUUUUACUAAAGAUUAGUUCUAAAAACAUUUUUUUUUCUUCUAAAAAUGCUUUUAAUCGUUUUAAAAACAGUUUCAAACUAGCUCUUAUUUGAAUCUAGGAGUAUAACACAUAUCUGAACGUGGGGUAUACACUGUUUCGUGAAGUUUUAGCCCCUCUGUUGGGGUGAAAUUUUACCCUCUCUUUUCCACUCAACAGUCUGUCAACAUUGAAUAAAACAACCUACAGUUUAAACCCCACAAGGGAUAUGGGGAAAGACUUUGAAGUCAACAAGUCAAACAAACCACAAAAUUAUACCCCCCCUAUACAUACAUUACCAUCACCACGUUUUCUGUAGUAUGGCUCGCUUAAGUUACCAAACGAAUUUUCAAUUUUUGAAAAAAAUAAAAAAUGAAAAAUGAAAAUAGAAUGAUUAAUAAACGGCUUUUUGGAGCUUGAAAGUCGUUUUGUUUGUUUGUUUGUUUUUUUUUUGUGUGUUGAAAUUUGUUGAUAAUCAUUUCUUUUGCUCGUCAUCAUUUUUCUCUUUCAUCUUACAAAAAACCAAAAUAUCUAUUUACGGUAUUCUGUGUGGCAUGGUUUGAAGCGUGUUUUACCUAUUCUGAAUAAUAAUAAUUGUUGAAUUAUUAGUGAUGGGAGGUCAGUUUUCUUUUAACUCAACAAAUGAUCGGAUGAGCCUAUUAUUAGCUAUUCUUUAUCUUCAAUCAUUCCAUCUAAAGUUCUUCCUUGAGUUUCAAAAGUUAUUGAAGCACAAAAUUAGUUUUUGUCAGAUUAUUUUAUUAAUUUAUUUCCUUCCGUGGUGCAACAAGAUUUACACCAAUGUUUAGUGUAGUUGUAGUUAGGCACUAACUCAUUCAAGUGUGUUUCUAUGGAAGCUAAUCUAAAUUAUUUGUUCAAUUUAUCCGGUUAGUAACAUCACUUCAAGUGCUUUUUGUAGAAUGCACUCAUAGAAUGCCGCUUUUGACCAAAAAAUUAAACAUGAUUUCCUUAAUUACCCCCUUGUAGUCUUGUAAAAGAGAGACUUAGGCCUUGUUUUGAAGUACUUUUAAAAUUAUUGAAAACGUUUUUAGAAAAAAAUGUUUUAGGGUCUCAACAACAAUUGAAGUGUUUUGUGGAGGAAGCAUCACUUCAAGUGAUUUUUCAAUAUUCACUUUUAUUUUUACUAGAGAUUAGUUCUAAAAUAUUUUCUCUAAAAAUGUAUUUAAUCAUUUUAAAAAUAUUUUCAAACAAAUUUUUAUAUGAAACUAGGAGUAUAACGCAUGUAUCUGAACGUGGAGUUCACUGUUUCGUGAAGUUUCUCUCUUUCCACCCAAUAGUCUGUCAACAUUGGAUAAAACAACUUAUACUUUGAAGUCAACAAGUCAAGCAAACCAUAAAAUUACACCCGCUAUACCUAUACAUACAUUAUCAUCACCACGUUUUCCUUAGUAUGGCUUGCCUAAGUUAUUCAAGAGUCGUUUGAUAACCUUCCUUUUAUUUUUAAACUGAAAAUAGUUAGUAAAUAAAAUUUUAUUUUUGAAAAAAAUAAAAACGAAUUGAUUAUUAAACAACAUUUUGGAACUUGAAAGUCGUUUCGUUUUUUUUUUGUGUUGAAAUUCGUUUGAUAAUUAUUUUUUUGCUCGUCAGUGUUUUCCUCUUUUGCCCUUUAAAAACCAAAAUAUCUAUUUACGAUCUUCUAUGUGGCAAGGUUUGAAGUGUGUUUUGCAUAUUCUGAAUAGUAAUAGUCAUUGAAUUAUUGAUGAUGAGUGGUCAUAGUACUUUUGGUAUAUGCAUAGCUUACAUUUUGAUUUUUGAUUUUUGAUUUUAUUUUUUUUGGUCAAUUGACGCGUGAGAACUAUAAUUUGGACUAUGAAGAACUUUAUAAAAUAUAGGACAAUUGUUUUACACAUUCCGAUAAACAAAGUGCAUAAACACACGUUCACAGUUCAACUUCAUCAUGGUUUCAGCUGAGUUUAGAUAGUAAUUUCUGUUUGUAUUGCCUUAGUGAGUCCAUAGCCACUGGAAAAUGAAGAUAGGAAAGCAACACAAUCAGACUUGAACGCUAUGUUGUCUUAUACAAAUUUCUAGAAAUCAAUUAAACUUUAUCAGAAAUCAUGAAUUGAGACAACCAAGACUUCAAAAUCAACGUCAACCCGUAAAGCCAAGAGAAAUUUUUUGAAAUGUUAUAUGAACUUAUAAACCUUCUUCAAUUUGUUAUAUAUGAACUAAAAUUUCAAGCGAUUUAUUAUACCAACUUUCUGAAUCAUUAAUUUCUCAUCUAACUCUAACUUCGUUAUGUUUCCUUCAAAAUAACUCAUAUGCAAGGCACCCAUAACUUAUGUUCAGGAGUAAUAUUUCAGACAUUUCAACCAGUGUCGCCCUCAUAUCUGCCCUUUGCAUUUAAUAACCACAAAAGGCAUCAAAAUGCCUUUCAUUCGUCUCUGUUUUUUAGGCACCGAAAGGCAAAGGCAUUUUACCUUUCUUUUUUUUUAGUCUGUUUUCUGUUUGCUGUGAACAUUCCCUUUCAUUUGAACCACAUUAUUACUAACAUUCCUUUUCAUUUGAACCACAUUAUUACUAGUUCAUUAUAAUAUUAAAUUCACAAUUUUUCUUUAAUAUUAAUAAUAUCAUUUGUUCAAAAACAAAAAACCCAUAAGAGUAUAUUUCCAAAUUUAUUGGGGUCAAAGGAUCUCAAUGCACCUUUGUUGGCUCCACUAAUGAAAACAAGUCAUUGCAAAGUACGUGAUUUAUUUUAGAUAGAAAACUUAAUAGAAUUGGUAUGAGAAAUCGCUUAAAUAUUAAUUCAUAUGAUAAAUUAAAAAAAAAGUGUAAAAAUUCCUAUAACAUUUCAAAUUUUUUUCCUAAUCUAACAAUUCUACAGUGUCAUAUAUAAAUCCAAGUAUAUUAAUUAGUAUCUUUCAUGCGACAAAUUUCCACUUGCCACAUUGCCUAAAGUAGUACUACAAUUACUCUUAAGCAAUAAUAUUUCGCUAUUGAAAAAACAACCCACAAUUUAAGCCCCACAAGGAAUAUGGGGAAAGACUUUGAAGUUAACAAGUCAGGCAAACCAUAGAUUUGGUAGAAAUCAUCACCACGUUUUUCUUAGCGUCUCUAAGAGCCAUACAUACACACGUCAAUCCGUUUGAGUCGCUUCGGUUAUUUAGAAUCCGUCUGAUAAUUAUUAUUUUUUUAUUUUUUAAAAUUAAAAGUAUUUUCUAAAUAAGUUUUAAAUUUUCUUUAAAAAAUGAUAAACGGAAAAUAAAAACGAAAUAAUUAUUAAACAGCCUACUUGAGCUUGGAAAUUAUUUUAUUUUUUUGUUUGUAGUUUUCACUAUUUUGUACUUGAGAUAAGGGAAAAUGGGAGAUGAAAUGGUUAUACAUGUAGAUGUUGUGCAAUUGGUUGUGCGGAACUAAAGUUCAAAUUACAACCACAUCACAACAAAUCACAGUUCAAUAAAAUGGGACCCCCACAGCCGACACUGACUAAGACCAAAUUGGUCUUUGGCUCACACGCCAUUACACAUUCUAUAAUUACAAAGAAGAAUAACUAGGGACCUGCCUAAGCUGUUCCUUCCUUACAUUUGUGUCACACAUCAGCAACAACCUCCGAUGAAAACUCCUCUGCUUUCAUGGCUUUUCUUACUCCGCAUUUGCUAUGUUUCACUCACCUUCCAUACGUUUGUGGUCUCUACCCAAUGUCCCGGCGAUCAGCAAUCUUUGCUGCUAAAAUUGAAGGACAGCCUCACAUUUGACCCUGCAACGUCUCGAAAACUUGUGAAGUGGAACAAUGCCUCGGACUACUGCUCUUGGGAAGGAGUGUCCUGCAAACAGGGUUGUGUUUCGAAUCUGGACUUGAGCAACGAGGCGAUUACUGGGGGACUUGAUAAUUCCAGUCCUCUUUUCGGUCUGAAGUCGAUCGAGAACCUGAAUUUGGCUUACAACAACUUCAACUACACUCAGAUUCCUUCCGAGUUCAAGCAGCUAACAGGUUUGACCAAUCUGAACUUGUCGAAUGCUGGCUUUGCGGAGCAGGUUCCGAUUGAGAUUUCGCACUUGACGAGGUUGGUAACUCUUGAUUUGUCUACCCUCGUUAUUCAGUUGAAUCUUGAGAAGCCGAAUUUGAAAGUGCUCAUUCGGAACUUUUCUGAGCUUGUUAAACUUUAUCUUGAUGGCGUGAAUAUAUCAGCACAGGGGACUGAAUGGUGCCAAGCUAUAUCAUCUUCACUGCCAAAAUUGAGGGUGCUGAGCUUGUCCGCUUGUUCUCUUUCAGGCCCUAUUGAUAGUUCAUUACUGAAGCUUCAAUCGCUCUCGGUUAUUCGUUUAGAUUACAAUGAUUUCUCUAUUCAAGUUCCUGAGUUCUUCUCAAAGUUCCCAAAUUUGACUUCCUUGCACCUAAGCGAUUCUGGCUUAUAUGGUACAUUCCCAGAGAAGAUCUUCCAGGUACCUACACUACAGACUAUUGACUUAUCUUCGAAUCCACAGCUUCAGGGUUCCUUACCAGAAUUUCCAAAGAAUGCAUCUCUUCGGUCCUUGGUUCUAAGGAGGGCUAACUUUUCAGGGUUUCUACCGAACUCUAUUGGCAACCUCAAAAUGUUGUCCAACAUAGAUAUUUCGUGGUGCAAUUUCAUUGGAUCAAUCCCAAGGUCAACAGAACACCUUCAUCAAUUGGUUAAUUUUGACUUGCAAGGGAAUGAGUUCAAUGGUUCAGUUCCAUCCUUCAGUAUGGCAAAGAAUCUAACCUCGAUAUAUCUUUAUAACAAUCUACUUGAUGGGACUAUUCCGUCAUCUCUGUUUUCUCUUCCCAUGCUGCAACAUUUAGACCUUUCUAACAAUCUACUUGAUGGGACUAUUCCGUCAUCUCUGUUUUCUCUUCCCAUGCUGCAACAUUUAUACCUUUCUUACAAUCACUUCUCUGGCCAGUUACCUGAAUUUGGUAAUUUUUCUUCCCUACAAGUCCUUGAUUUGAGUAGCAAUAGUUUGGAAGGGCCUAUACCCAUGUCCAUCUUUAAUCUACGACAGCUUCAUUUUCUCUCACUUUCUUCAAACAACUUCAGUGGGUCCUUUCUGCUUAAUGAUAUUCAACAACUGAAAAAUCUCCAAGAACUUUAUCUUUCAUACAAUAGCUUGCUAAUUAAUCAUUACAGUUCCAAUUCCUCCUACUCCUGUCCUCAACUUCGCACAUUGAAAUUAGCUGCUGGAAAGUUGAGAACCUUUCCUGAUUUCUUGAGAAAUCAAUCAAUAUUAGAGGUUUUGGACCUAUCCCUAAACCAGAUCCAUGAAAUACCCAACUGGAUUUGGAGGCUUAGUACUCUUGGUGAACUAAAUCUUUCUUGCAACUCUCUGGUAAAUCUACCAGGUCCUUUCCUCAAUCUUUCUUUCUCUGUGCUUGACCUUCAUUCCAACCAGCUUCAGGGACCAAUUCCAAUGCUUCCACCAUAUGCCGGUUAUCUGGAUUACUCAAGAAAUAAUUUCAGCUCAAGCAUACCGGCAGAAAUUGGUGAUUUCCUUGUGAGCACUGUGUUCUUCUCUCUUGCAAGUAAUCACAUCCACGGGAUCAUUCCAGAAUCAGUAUGCAAGGCGACAUCUCUUGAGGUUCUUGAUCUGUCCAAUAAUUCCUUAAGUGGCAUGAUUCCCCAGUGCUUGACUGCAAGGAACGGGCCUCUUGCAGUACUUGAUUUAAGGAGAAACAAACUUUCUGGCACUCUUCCUGAUAAUUUUCCUGAGAACUGUAGUCUACAAACUCUAGACCUCAAUGGCAAUGUGAUUGGUGGUCAGUUCCCAAAAUCUCUAACCAACUGCACAAUGUUAGAGGUGUUAAACCUGGGAAACAAUCAGAUAACAGAUGUCUUUCCAUGCUCAUUGCAGAACAUAUCCAGCUUGCGUGUACUUGUCUUGCGUUUCAACAAAUUUUAUGAUAGCAUUGAAUGCCUCAAGACUAAAAGAGACUGGCCAAAGCUUCAAAUUAUUGACUUAGCUCGCAACAAUUUUACUGGCGAAAUACCAGGAAGUUUUUUGAAAACGUGGCAAGCAAUGAUGGCUGACAAAGAUGGUGCCGUGUCAAAGAUUAAUCACCUCCAAUUUCAAGUUUUAGUCAACGGCCAGGUGUACUAUCAGGAUACCGUAACAGUUACCACCAAAGGUCAAGAGAUGGAAUUGGCAAGGAUCUUAACAGUCUUCACCUCAAUUGACAUCUCCUGCAACAAUUUUAAUGGAUCAAUACCUGAGGAAGUGGGAAAGCUCACAUCACUUCAUGGCCUAAACUUGUCCAGUAAUGCUCUCACAGGCGCAAUCCCAUCAUCAUUAGGUAAUCUACGACAGCUUGAGUCCUUAGACCUUUCGGACAACAAAUUGAGCGGAACAAUUCCAUCACAACUUUCCAAACUUAAUUUCCUCUCAUUCCUAAAUCUGUCGAGCAAUCAACUUGUCGGGAAGAUUCCAACCGGCACUCAGAUUCAGUCUUUUUCAGCAGAUUCUUUCGCAGGCAAUAAAGGAUUAUAUGGGCCACCGUUAGAUGACGGAUCACCAAGGUUGCCACCAACAUUAGAAGGCAAACAUUCUAAUUCUGCGCACAGAAUUGAUUGGGAUCUUAUCAGUGUUGAAGUUGGAUUUAUUGUUGGCUUUGGAGUUGCGGUCGGGUCACUUGUGUUGUGCAAGAGAUGGAGUAAAUGGUAUUACAAAACAAUGUAUAAAAUCCUUGUUAAGAUAUUCCCUCAGCUUGAAGAUAGAAUUGGUCCUCACCGAAGACAUGUCCACAUAAAUCAGAGGUUCAGACGCUGAAGUUAAUGAUCAUGGGGACCAAUGGAGCUGGACCUCAAGCUAUGCCUGGGGAAUUUGAGAUCCAACAAAUAAGAGGUUUGCUUUUUGGUUUUACCUUUUAAAUUUGUGUAUGUUAUAGUUAUAUUUGUAAUAGUUUAUUGUGUAUCUUUAUGCCUUGUUUUCAAUAAACUUCCUCGUACCGUCGAGGUUCUUGAAGUUAGUGUAAAUUGAUAUACCCAAAAGAGUGUACCACAUGUAAUGUAUUAUUUGUUCGAAUUGUGUAGUACGAUGUCGAGACCAACUCCACCCAAAAGAGUGUACUACAAAGAAUAUCUUGACUUCUAAAUUGCGAUAUGUUUUAACAUCUUGCAAUUCAAUUUUAAACUCAUCAUAUCCAGUUUAUUUUUCACCUCAAUUUAUAAGAGAGCAAACCAGUGCUUUUUGUUUUAGAAUUUCCUCACCAACUUUUAUGUCUGAGAUCGCACCAAAAGGCAAAAGCCAACCCUCUCAGGUAACAAGAAGAAAUGAAAAACUCAACCGCUUUUACAAAAUCAGCAAACGACGGUUCAAUCGGUAUUCUCCCUUUCAUGUCAGAGCACAAUGAAAUACUCAUCUGCUUUUACAAGAGUUGAGUCACUCGCCCAAUUUCAACUGAUUUUAGGAUGAACCUCAACUUCAACUAUAGGACAAAAACUUCUAUCAUUUAAGACUUUAAGUUGGCAAAUGCGAAGUAUCGAUCGCGAUGAUUAGGUCUUCCAUAUUAACACUUAACUACUGAAAGAGAGAAUUAACACUUAAUAUGAUUUGAAUUGGGCAUGUUCAGUUACCCCAUCAAUUCUCCACAGAGCAGACUACGACAGUCACAAUUCCACGAUACCAUAGUUACAUACAAUACAUGAGUUUUUCGGAGAAUAUAUUUCUCUUGCUACCCAGAAAAUCAACAUGAGUAUACACAAACCAUUCUGUUUUUCUUCCACCUAUAACGGUAUGUAUAUAUGAUCGACUAUAUAUGGCCUUCGUUAGUCAAAAACUAAAAUAGGAGUAACAUGUAGAUUGCAUAUAUGCCUAGACUACUUCAAAGUGAAUUAGAGUCAAUCAAAUCAAAAACAAAAAAUAUGAACCUGUAACAGCAUAAAACAAGAACCCAAAUGAAUAGAAAUCCGGAGUACCAUACUACGUACUGAAAAUAGCAAUCUUGAGCCCACUGCGACAUUUCAUCGAAAACACUGUGUGCACAGAGAUAUACCUGACAAACGCGAACCAAAGGGCGAGUGGAGCGCAUCACAUGUUCACUGAAGGUAGACUUGCCGCUUCCAGGCGCACCCACCAAUAUUACUACGACAGGCUUUCCUUGUUUUUCUUCCACCGUCAAAAGGGCGUCCAGGUUUUAUGAUCACCGAAGGAGACGACGACUGAGAAUGGUAAAACGCGGCGUUUUGGAGAAAGGUCGUACCUUUGGCUGUUUCGUCGAUAUCCAUGUCCAUGUUUCGGAAGACUCUGCGAGGCACUUUUGAAUUAACGGCGGAAAAGCAACGGUUUCUUCUUCCGCUGGGCUGGAAGCCCCAAGCUUCUAUUGCCGGUGCCUGGUGCUUGCAUAAUGGGACACAUGUCACACAUCGUCGACCCGAAAAUUGACAAGAUCCGAUUCGAUUUGGAUUUUAUCCAUACAUUAGCCUCUUCGCAAUCACUCACGUGUAAACAAAAAGUAUUUUCUAAUCACAAUCCUUACGCGCCCUUUAAAGAUGGGUUUGCUUUAAUUAUUUUUCUAAUUGUUUAACAUCGUUAUUUCAUAAGAAAUUUGUGAGGACCUUUCCUUAUCAUGUUAGGCAUCAAAAUUUUCUUAUCCUUUUCUUUUUCAACUGUCUUUCUGUGAUAAUUUUUUCUAUAAUUGUGUUAAGCCCUCUGUAUUCCGGUGACCUACAACAUGUUAAAUUUAUAGAAAUUAUAAACUUGAUAAUUACGUUCAUAGUAAAAAGGCCUAUACAUACAAUAGUGUUUACUUGGUGUAUAAGUAAGGAUCUCUUCAAAUUAUGAAUACAAUCAUAACUAGAUUACAAUAUUAAUUGCUAAACCUUAAGAGAGACGAUUUCCUUGGACAAGACUCAUUCUCUAACAUCCCGGCAAACUGGACGGUCGAGAGGCGACAAGUUUGGAUCAUAGAAGAAGAAUCCAUGGUUUAGAUAGACCUUUUGUCAAGAGAUUUGCAGGUUGAUCCAAGGACUGGAUGAAAUGAACUUUGUGGGUACCAAGCUUAACAUGUUCACUAACAAAAUGAUAAUCUAACUCAAUAUGCUUUGUGCGAGCAUGAAACAGUCGGUUGGCUGCAAUAUACCUAGUACUAAGGUUAUCACAAAAGAGAUAGGUGGGCAAAGAGGCCUGAAACCGAAGUUCAUGAAGUAAGUAAGACACCCAAAGAGAUUCGAUACAGGUGUGAGCAAGAGCACGAUACUUAGACUCCGCACUACAGUAAGAAACAGUAGGACGUUUUGUAGAACUCCAUGAUAUGAGAUUCAAACCUAGAAAUAAAAGAUAGCUAGAUGUCGAUUGACGAAUGUCAGUACAAGCCCAAUUUGCAUCGGAAUAAAAAGUUGUUCAAAAUAUGGUUGCUCCUAUUUUACAGACGAAACUCAAAAAAAUACUAUUCCAUAACCUGUCCUAAAGUAUCCAAUUUACACUCAUAACGCUAGAAUUGAGAAAUUUUCAAAUUUGGAAUAAUUCAAUAGAGCUAGAGCUGAGCACUUAAAGUGCCAAUUAACAAUAAAUUAAAAAUCCCAGAUAAUCACCUAGGAAAAAGUAAAACUAUACUUUAAUAUAAAAUAAGAGAAAAGAAGUGCAAGGAAUGAAAAAGAAUAUGGAGUUAGAGUUACUUUGACACCAUCUACGGAGAAAGGCCAUUCAGAAAUGUAUUCCUUCAGACCUGUCUCCAGAACUAUGACGUCAUACUCUUCAUCCAUGCAAUCCAGCAGAGAAACCGGAUGAAUAUAGCGAGUAUUGUCUUUACAAUCCAGCAGAGAAACCGGAUGAAUAUAGUGAGUAUUGUGUAAAGACGGAUAUAACCUGUAUAAUAUCCAGUAAAGAUAGUUACACUAUGUUUGGAUGAUAGAAAUAAACUUGAAAUUUAAGGAAAAGUCGGAAUUUAUAAAUUGACAUACACCAAUUCCCUUGUUUGGAUUCAUAAACAUAGAAAUUUAGAAUUUUCAUGUGGAAAAAAAACUUGGAAUUUGGGACAUUCAAUUCCCAAGUUUAAAUUCCAUGUAAAUAUGUGUCAUUUUCCAAUUUCUAUGAUUGAGAGUUGAUAGACGCAUAUUUAUGCGACUUAGUUAACUAGUUUUCUUGCAUUUACGUUAUUAGUUCUUAGUUAUUUUAGUACUUUAAGCCAUUUUCGUGUGUUUGUAGGUCCAAAGGGCUAAGGUAGCAAGAAAGUGCAUUUUGGUGCAUUUUGGAGCAGUUUUGAGCUCGGAAUGGAUUACAUAUGAUAUGAGCAAGAUGGAUGGACGAAUUUGAAGACAAAAGAGGCUAAGAACAUGCUAAAAAUCUGGUGAAACAAAUACAAGUUGCAAUAAGGGAUAAAUUUCUAGAAGGAUUGGCCAAAACUUCACUCAAAACACAUCAAUGCCGUGGCUUUUACUUCCACCUCCACCAGAAAUUUGAGUAAUGAUGCAAUGCUUAACUCACCAUGACAUGUGAGUGGAUGAUGCAAUGCUUAGCUCACCAUGACAUGUGAGUGGAUGAUGCAAUGCUUAGCUAACCAUGACAUGUGAGUGGAUGACUCAAUACCUAACCCACCAACAAUUCCCACUCUUUGCCAUGCUCACCUACUCAAUUCCACCAACAUUUUGUGUUAAACAAGUCCAUCCUCUUCCUAUAAAUACCAUGGCAUCAACCUCAUUCAAAUCAUCCAGAAAUUAACCAUUCUCCAAGCCUUUCCUUGCCUCUCCUACAUAUCUAAACCCCUUCCCAUCCAUUCCUCCAAAUAACCAACCCUUCAACAUCAUUCCAACCUUGUUGUUGCGGCAAAGAGAAGGAGAAAAGUCCUUAGACGCACUUGCUAUCCAACAUGGAUCGUUGGAACGUUUAGGUGCUUUCUUUCCUUUGUUUUUCAAUGUUUAAAUUUGUUUAUCUUUGUUUUGUAAUAAUGAGGAACUAAACCCCCCUUGGCUAGGGGGGAUUCGAAACCAUGUUAAUGCUUGCAAUAUGAUUUGAUUACUUUUAAUUGCGUUUCAUAAGUUAUGAAUUCGAUUUACUUAUCUAUUUGAUUGAUAACAUGUUUAUGUAUGUUGAUUAGGGAUGCAUACUUAGUUUGCAUGCAUAAAUAUGAUGCUAGAGUAUAAGGGAAUUUCACCUAAUCGUUAUGAACUUAUAUUCAUGAGUAGUAAAAGUCGCUAGUCACGAUUGUGUUAAGUAAAUCCUUGGCAUAAGUUUCAUGCAAAUCAUAGUAACGAGUGCCUCGUCAAUGCUUAUGUUUUUCAUAGAACUUAAUGAUUCUUGCUUGUAUCUCUAUUAUGCAAUUCAUGUAGGGAACUUGUAGGGAAUAUUUUGGGUUGUCGUAUGCAAUCAUCCAACCCAAUAACUUGUGGAAAAACUGAGGGUAAAUUAGUGCAAUUCACGGUUAAUUUGGGGCGUUGAGAAUUAAUAAGUUAUUGAAAUGCAAUUGGAAAUCAUUUUGUAUGCAAGCAAGACAUGUGUGGAGAAGAACCCCUUAGCUAGCCUUCCAUUAUCCAUUCAACCCAAAUUUGUUUAAAAUCUAUUUAAGUUUUUAGUUUAUUCGUUUUUACUUUCAACUUCACCAAACUCAAAUCCCCCUUUUACUUUCUUGUUUUAAAAUCUUUUGUUUACAUUUUUAACUUUGUUUUUAUGUUUUUAAAUUAGUUUUCAAGUGAUUUAGCAAUCCCUCCUAAUCCCCGGUUUAGAACGAUCCCUACUUACAUCUAUACUACAAUUGUCAAAAAGAGGGUUAAAUUUGUGUGCUUAUAUUAUUCGCAUCAAAUUUUUGGCGCCGUUGCCGGGGAUUAGCAACUUUGCUAAUCCCUUGGUUCUUUUCUUUUUGUUUAGUUUGUUUUUGUUUUAGUUUCUGACUUAGUUUUGUUUUCCUUGUUUUGUGUUACUUUUGAUAUUUGAGUUAUUUUUCUUUCUUUGAUUUUAGGUACAAAUGGAGCAAGACAUGGCACUUGCGACCAUUCAAGCUCAAUUGGCACAGCUCACUGCUCAAUUGACUCAUAAUGCCGAACGGACCACAAUGCCAAGUGUCCCUACAUUGAUGUGCCCUAUGGGCAAGGAUAUCAACAUCCUCAAUUCACUGUGAACGAAGAUGCUUGGGGUUAUCAAGGCUAUGAUCAACCAAGCAACAACAUGUUUUCCAACGCUUACAAUUCGGCUUGGAGAGAUCAUUCAAAUUAUAUGUGGGGGAAACCUCAACAAUUCCAACAAGAGGGAUAUUGGCAGCAAGAGGAGGAGUUCUAUUCAAAACCUAUGCAAUAUGCUUAAUCAAACUCAGGUUCGUCAAUAAAUUAUAAUCAAAUUCUUAAUGAAUUAAAUUGUUUGGUGCAGGGCUCACAAAAUCAAGCCAAGGAGGCUCAACAAGAUGCAUAUUGGCAGCCAUAUGAGGAGUUCUACACCACACCUAUACAGCCACCACUGCAUACCCCACAACAAUUCCAAUCAAAUUCAAGUAUGUCCAUGGAUAGUGAUCAAAUUCUUCAAGUACUAACCUCUUUGACGCAGGACCAACAAAAUCAAGACAAGAAGUUGGAUAAAUUGAAGAGUCAAAUGGGAGAGAUUAUGGAAUUCAUGGUACAAAUUCAAGAGCAAAGUGAACUCUCCAACUCAACUGUUGAAAAUUCGAAGGAAGAUUUUGAAAUCCACGAUGCUAUCACUUUGGGAAGUGCUAUGAAGGAUGAAGCUGUCCCAGAACCAUCCAAACACAGCCCGAACAUGGAUGAAUUGCUGCUGCAAGCAGAAGAGGAGGAGGACGACCUGGGCAGUUUAGAAGAAUUCUUGCUGCAAGCUCCUCAAAUCCCUAUAUCAUCCAACUCAGGUGAGGAAGUUUUAAAUCCACUUCAUUCUAACAUUAUUCCACCAAAUGUCCUUUUUCCUUGUAGGUUUUUUAUUCCAAAUAUCAAAGAGAGUGAAAAAGACAUUGUGGAAGCUCUUCCAAAGGUGCAAAGUGAUAUCCCAAUUCUUGGUGCACCAAAACAAGUUCCCGAUGGUAUUGAAACGUUCAAAGAACCUUGCACACCAAGAAAAGGGAUUCAAGAGAAUGAAGUGGUUGAAGCAUAUCAAGAAUACAUCCAAGAGGCUGUGCAUGAGACAAUCAAGCCCAAAGCAGUUGAGUUUGAUGACACGGGACAAGCCACAACCAUCAUAGUAAACCUGGCCAAGUUCAAAAUCCCAGAAAUGUUCAAAGAUGUGGUGUUUGUCAUUGAGUUUGUGUCGGAAAAAGAAAGUAAGCCAUCUUCUCCAAUUUUAAUUUUUAUUUAUACUAACAUUUUUCUGAUUUUGAUGAUUCAGGCACCCACUCUUGAAUUUAAACCAUUGCCGAAUCAUUUCAAGUAUCACCUCCCAUUAAAAGAUAAAUUCCAUGCUUUGGAGCCGAGGGGAGUUUAAAGGAAAGAUUCGUCCGGCUAAAGACGUUAAAUCAAGCGCUUCUUGGGAGGCAACCCAAGCAUUCAACGAAGGGAGACUUUUGGAAUCGCUAACCAAAAUCAGAUUUGAAUUCUUACACCCUUAUCUUUACUGCUUUCAUUUUGUUUUGUUUAGUUAGUUGUGUUAUUUGGUUAAUUUCUGUAAGUUUGUGUUAUUUAGUUUAAGUGUGGGGGAAGGUUAACCAAAGUCUUUCUACAUUAAUUUACAUAUAAUUUAAAAACAACAAAAAAAAAAAAAAAAAAAAAAAAAACAUAAGUAAAAAUAUUUUACAAUGAUGUGUAAACUAAUAGCAUUCAUUGGUCAGGUGGUGCUUCAGUAGUCGGCGGAGCUUCAGCAGUCGGCGGGGCCACAGAAGGAGGAGGCAACAGAGGUUGAUCAGUUGGAGCUUCACUACGCGAUGCCGCUCCAGAAGACGAAGGCAGAUGCUGUUGGAACAAACCCACAAACCUCCGAUGAUCAAGUAAAAUCUGACCAUCAGAUUCAUGUAUCUGGUCAAUUUUCCUCUUCAUGGUUGUGGCAUAGUUGUGUGCAAGCUUAUGCAAUUGUUUAUUUUCAUGCUUGAGUCCUUUAAUCUCCUCUUUGAGACUCUGUAUUUCAGCCACCAACGAUUCAACGUGACGGGUUCGGGCAAAUAGGCGUUGGGCCAUGUUGGACACGGAACCGGCACACUGCACGCUAAGAGCCAGAGACUCCUUAACCGCCAAUUCAUCAGACCGUCUAGCGAGCAGUUUGUUAUCUCUGGGGUGACAAGGUUCCGGGCCACCACCGCAGCGGUCAUGUCAUUUUUCAUCACCGAAUCCCCCACGGUAAGGGGACCGGUAGGGGAUAUGAAGGAUGGGCGCCAUAUGUUGUCUGGUGAAGGCGGAGCUGCCUCUUCACCAAUGUUCAAGUCAAAACGACGAUCGGAAGGGCCAGACAUUUUCUGAAGGUGUGAGAAAGAAGAGAUCGGACAGAUUAAGAUUUCGGAAGUGCAAGAAGGGAGUGUUUACAGGAGGGAGCUCAAGUGUGUUGUGGAACAAAAUUAGCGCCUCUAUAAAAAGAAGAAAUCAAAGAGGCGCUCCUCAGAAAUUGAAAAGGCGUCCUCUCGCAAAUCGAAGAGUCGGGGCUCCGUUCUCAAACGCCUGAUUCUUUUCUCAAAAGAGGAGUUUCCUUUCUCAAAAGCCGGAUUCUUUUCUCAAAAGAGGCGUUUCAUUUCUUAAAGGCUGGGCUUGCUCAGAAACCACGAGCCGAACCCCGGAUUUCAAAAGAUCAAUUUGUCCAGACGUGUCGUCACUUGUCACACGCAAAUUGCUUUGCGAAAAUCUCGGGCAGUUUGUCGAAGCACCAAUUCAGAAAUCGAAGAGGGAAAUUCAACAGUCAAAGACACGCUAGCUUUCUCAAAAGCUGGGCUUCAACCCACGGGCAAAUCUUCUUUUCCAGAUUUAUCCGCACGUGUCACAUGCUACCUCUACAAUCGACGAUGCUCAAAGCUCGAAGCGCCGAUUCCAGAUAUCAAUGAGGAAUCUGCUUUGCGGAAAUUACGGGCAGCUUUGUCAGAAAGCGCGUAAUUUGUACUAUUCAUCCAUCCACCGGCUGCCGACAAUGAGUGAGGGAAUAGUUCCGGUUGUGAAGAAAAGUCCCAUAAGUAUCUACCUUCGCCUUCCACAGCAAAGGCACACCCUCUCAGCACUUCUUCCUCUCUGAAAUGGCUUUCCAACAAACCCUCUCAAGUCACUCUGUAUUUUUCAUCCCCUGGGAUACCCCUGCAAACAACCCAUCCAAAGCAAAAGUAUUUCAUAUCAUGAAGGUUGAAAGCAAGAGUAUCUCAUAUCAUGCUUUCUCCCUGUCCUUUCUCCAGCCAGCACUUGCUCUCGAGUACUCAUCAUCUUAUGUUUCCUCUUCGUCUCUCACGUAUAAGGGAAGUGAAGAUGAUACCUCGAAGCAUGUGGAGACAACGUGCUGAUUCAUCCUCAGCUAGGGACAAGGAGAAAGAGAGCAAGAGGUGGGCACUUGGAAAGAUGAAGAAAGAAACAGACCAAUACCUCUACCUCGUGCCUGCCCGCCAUGCAGAGGAAACAAGCAGAGAAGAAUGCAGCUCGUACAAUCAUCCCAGCAGAAGGAGUCCGAGCUGAAGAACUAGAGAAGCUGCCACAUCUGCUUGGAGAACAAAUAAGGAACUGCAACAUCACCAAAGAGCAAAGCUUCGCCGUACAAUAUCAUCAAAUCAUCACUUGCAAGUAAAAAGCUAAGUGUCACCCUGUUCAAGAGGAAAGCUGUGGAAAGUCAACAAGCACGACCAAUGAUCACUUAUUAGUUCUAUUCAUUGUCUUUUAUCGUGAUUUUCAAUUUUUCGUUUGCAAUUUUUUUUAUAUUUUCUUGUGUUACUAAACUGAAUUAUUUCUUUUCUUUGCAGGAACUUUUGGUUAUUUCCACCCUUGAAGUUGAUUGCAGAAUUUUAGCUUGGGGGUCAUCGCUUGGUUUUAUUGCAAACUAGGGAAGUUUUCAGUCCAAUUGCUUUAUUUUGUUUCUUAUUAUUUAUUUAUUUUAUUUUUAUUUGCAUUAUAGUGUUUUCUGACAUUGGGGUAUAGAUUUCAUGGGUCCUUUCCCUCCAUCUUUUGGUUUCACUUAUAUCUUGCUAGCUGUUGAUUAUGUUUCCAAAUGGGUGGAAGCCAAAGCCACCCGGACUAACGAUUCAAAGGUUGUUGCAGAUUUUGUGAAAACUAAUAUCUUUGCUAGGUUUGGCAUGCCUAGAGUUCUCAUUAGUGAUGGAGGCAACCCAUGGAAAUAAAGAAGACCUAGGAAUUUCCGACUCCAAAACCAGGUGUUUGCGUUCUUUAACCCUCCUCUCUGUUGCUUUUACUUUGCCAUGUUUAUCAUGUUUCCUCGUUGUUUGUUUGUUUGCUUUUGUGUGAGUUUAUGUUUGAAACAUUGAGGACAAUGUUAGAUUUAAGUGUGGGGGGGUAAACAAGUUGCUGUUGCAUGAUUUUCGUGGGAUUUUAUUCACCUAUCACUUACAAUGUUGUUUCUUGCUGUUUUAAGUGUUUUUAGUGUGUUUUUAAGCAUGUUAGUAUGUUUUGACAUAAAAAUCCGAAAAUUUGACAAAAAUUUGAAAAAAAAAUUGUUUUGAAAAAGCCAAAAAGAGUUGUUUUUGUGUGUUUGUUUGUGUCUUAGGGUACCUUCCAACACAAAUAAUGAGGAUUUGGUUUUUAAUUGCAUGACUGCUAAAGAAAGUUAUAAACAUGGAUGGAAAGUUUGAUAUGCUCUUUGAUUUAUGCUUGGUUAUAGUUAUAGUUUACGAAUUCACAUGUAAUCACAAAGAAAAAAAAUCAGUUUUUGUAACAUGCUUGAAGGAAGGAACUCAAACUAACACUACAACCUUGAGAGACUUGAGCCUAAUACGUUCUUUGGAGAGUUACUAAUCUGUGCAUUUUUGUUUUCUAAAGUCGUUGCAUGAUCUCAUCAUUCUUUGCUUGGUUGCUACUUAGAAGGCGUUUCAUCAUUUAGUUCCAAAUACUAGAACUUAUGCCCGUUCCAUUCAAAGCAUGACAUUGAUUUGCAUAACACAUAUUCAAGAUGAAGUUGUGUAGUGAACUAGAGCCAAAAAGCUUAUCCGUGCAUAUUUUUGUUUAAGUUUAACCCCGUUGAGCCUUGUUUAGCCUGUUUUCUUUGUUAAACCCACAUUUCCCUUACCUAGCCUAGAUUAGGACUAUCCAUACCCUUGUUUUUUUAAAGCAUAGUGAAGCAUGACUUAAAAUGAAUUCCUUUUGAUUGUCCUUAUGCAGAAACAAGUGUGGGGGAAUGAGAUUUUUUGUGUUUGUGUGCCAAAAGAAAGUAAUAAGGCACGGGUUAGAAAAAGAAAAAGAAAAAAAAAAAAAAAAAGAAAAGAAAAAAGAGUUUGAAAUAAGUGAGGAAAGGCUCACAAGUGUUUGUUUGUAGUUGAAAUCGGCCCUAAAAAGUUGAAUGAAUAACCCCAUUGUGUUUAAAGUUAGUUGCUGCAUUCAAAGGAAUUCUAAGCAUCAAUUUCAUUACUUUGCUUAUUAUGCUUUAAAAACGUUUGUUUCCUUACCUUUCAUUGUUAGCCAAUCACCCCUAACCCCGUUACAACCCUUAACUUCAAUCUUGAGUGUUAUGUGUUUCAAUAUGUGGAGUUUGGGAUUGGUACGAGCAUAUGGUGUCCCUGGUUCUCGCAUCUAAGUAGUAGCAUUCCAGUCAUGAGAUCAUAUCUAUACAUGCUUAAUAACUCCAGAAAUUGCUUUCUUUGCUAUAAACAUAUGUGAGUGUUCGUUUUCAUGUUUACAUCAAUCUUCUCACAUACAUCUAUAGUGUAGGGUAAAUAGUCAGAAAAAUCAGAGUGAAAAUAAGAGUGUAUCUUGUAAGGAAUUGAGCAAAUUCUCUAAGGCAUGUUACUACAUUCAAAACAUCGUUUUAAUUGGUUAUAUGUGAACUAGUAUGUGGUGACUUUGAUUAAGUAUGUGCUCAAGGGUAGGGAAGGCAAAAAUCUGUGGUUAUGAUGAUCUUUUGCAUGUCAUGUUGCAUUGAAAAUCCCUAAGGUAAUUGUUGGAAGGUUUAGGUUUUGUUUUGUUCUUAUGUUUUGUUUCUUUGUUUUGCUCGAGGACUAGCAAAAGCUAAGUGUGGGGGAAUUUGAUAGACGCAUAUUUAUGCGACUUAGUUAACUAGUUUUCUUGCAUUUACGUUAUUAGUUCUUAGUUAUUUUAGUACUUUAAGCCAUUUUCGUGUGUUUGUAGGUCCAAAGGGCUAAGGUAGCAAGAAAGUGCAUUUUGGUGCAUUUUGGAGCAGUUUUGAGCUUGGAAUGGAUUACAUAUGAUAUGAGCAAGAUGGAUGGACGAAUUUGAAGACAAAAGAGGCUAAGAACAUGCUAAAAAUCUGGUGAAACAAAUACAAGUUGCAAGAAGGGAUAAAUUUCUAGAAGGAUUGGCCAAAACUUCACUCAAAACACAUCAAUGUUGUGGCUUUUACUUCCACCUCCACCAGAAAUUUGAGUAAUGAUGCAAUGCUUAACUCACCAUGACAUGUGAGUGGAUGAUGCAAUGCUUAGCUCACCAUGACAUGUGAGUGGAUGAUGCAAUGCUUAGCUAACCAUGACAUGUGAGUGGAUGACUCAAUACCUAACCCACCAACAAUUCCCACUCUUUGCCAUGCUCACCUACUCAAUUCCACCAACAUUUUUGUGUUAAACAAGUCCAUCCUCUUCCUAUAAAUACCAUGGCAUCAACCUCAUUCAAAUCAUCCAGAAAUUAACCAUUCUCCAAGCCUUUCCUUGCCUCUCCUACAUAUCUAAACCCCUUCCCAUCCAUUCCUCCAAAAUAACCAACCCUUCAACAUCAUUCCAACCUUGUUGUUGCGGCAAAGAGAAGGAGAAAAGUCCUUAGACGCACUUGCUAUCCAACAUAGAUCGUUGGAACGUUUAGGUGCUUUCUUUCCUUUGUUUUUCAAUGUUUAAAAUUUGUUUAUCUUUGUUUUGUAAUAAUGAGGAACUAAACCCCCCUUGGCUAGGGGGGAUUCGAAAACCAUGUUAAUGCUUGCAAUAUGAUUUGAUUACUUUUAAUUGCGUUUCAUAAGUUAUGAAUUCGAUUUACUUAUCUAUUUGAUUGAUAACAUGUUUAUGUAUGUUGAUUAGGGAUGCAUACUUAGUUUGCAUGCAUAAAUAUGAUGCUAGAGUAUAAGGGAAUUUCACCUAAUCGUUAUGAACUUAUAUUCAUGAGUAGUAAAAGUCGCUAGUCACGAUUGUGUUAAGUAAAUCCUUGGCAUAAGUUUCAUGCAAAUCAUAGUAACGAGUGCCUCGUCAAUGCUUAUGUUUUUCAUAGAACUUAAUGAUUCUUGCUUGUAUCUCUAUUAUGCAAUUCAUGUAGGGAACUUGUAGGGAAUAUUUUGGGUUGUCGUAUGCAAUCAUCCAACCCAAUAACUUGUGGAAAAACUGAGGGUAAAUUAGUGCAAUUCACGGUUAAUUUGGGGCGUUGAGAAUUAAUAAGUUAUUGAAAUGCAAUUGGAAAUCAUUUUGUAUGCAAGCAAGACAUGUGUGGAGAAGAACCCCUUAGCUAGCCUUCCAUUAUCCAUUCAACCCAAAUUUGUUUAAAAUCUAUUUAAGUUUUUAGUUUAUUCGUUUUUACUUUCAACUUCACCAAACUCAAAUCCCCCUUUUACUUUCUUGUUUUAAAAUCUUUUGUUUACAUUUUUAACUUUGUUUUUAUGUUUUUAAAUUAGUUUUCAAGUGAUUUAGCAAUCCCUCCUAAUCCCCGGUUUAGAACGAUCCCUACUUACAUCUAUACUACAAUUGUCAAAAAGAGGGUUAAAUUUGUGUGCUUAUAUUAUUCGCAUCCAGAGUUUAAAAAUACAAAUUCCAUAUUGAAUUUCAUUGUUCUUUUAGGUUAACCAAACAAGAAAAUUUACAAAUUCUAAAAAAUAAAAUCUCGUCCCUUCAAUUUCUGUCAUUUUAAAAUUCCUUGGUAAUCUUAAACUUCUUCAUCCAAACAUAGUGUUAGUUUGGUACAAAUUUAUGGAAGCCAAAUCUACCAAGUUUGAGAUCCGGACCGUUGAAAUUUGAUCCAAUGUCUAUAGUUGUUAUAACUUUCAUUAGUUUUCCUUAAAUAAUUUUACAUUAAGAUCAUUUCAAAGUGAGUGGCUAACCCUAAAAGGUUCAGUUGAACCUUGUCAAACACAUAGAUACAUACAAGGUAACCUGUAACAUCUUUGGUUCGGCUAACUUUUGUUUUUUAUUUUUUAUUGUUGAAGUCAGUUGAAGUUAUCACAUGUUCGUCUACGGCUUGUGUCCACCAAAAAAAAAAAAAAAAAACCCACGCAAAUUCCCAAAUUCCAAUUCCAAACCAAACAAUUGUACAAAAAAUUGGCCGAUGUAAUUCGGUAUGUACCAGAUAACGGUAAUAAAUAUAUAUACAGAGAGCUUAAGGGGAGGGAUCCCCAUUUUUUGAAAAAAAUGGGGAUUAGGUGUGGGGCCCACUUCACAUUAAAUUUCAACGAUCCGAACCGUCUAUUUUGUUAGUCUCGAUUCAUAGAUCAUCCUGCAAAAUAUUAGCUAAAUUGGAAAUGUUUAAGACAUCUAAUUGGGUUCAAGGAAAUGAACGAAUACUUUGUUAUAUAAGAAAAUAUGAAAUUUGAUAUUGAUAAUUAAAUAGGCAAAUGGUUUCGGAUUGAAUUGAAUUUUUGCAAGGAUGAUCUAUGAAUCGAGACUAACAAAAUAGACGGUUCGGAUCGUUGAAAUUUGAUGUGAAGUGGGCCCCAUACCUAAUCCCCAUUUUUUGGGAUCCCUCCCCUUAAGCUCUCUAUGUAUAUAUAUAUAUAUAUAUAUAUAUAUAUAUAUAUCUAUGACAACUACAUUAACACAUACAAUCCAUCAUUCUCAUCAAACAAAAAACUGAAGCAAAAAACCAUCAGCCUUUUAAGAAAAUUAACCUACAAUUUCCACCCCCACCCACCCCAAAAAAACUGCAAUAACAAAAUUACCCCUACAAUUUUCACUCCUGUCCGUCCGAUUUGGAAUUUAGACAUGCAAAAAAGUAAUUUUGCUUGCAGGUCUUUAGGCCUCCGAAUGGGCCAUUUCAGCUACACCCUAAUCCAAGCCGAAGGCCACAUUGGGCAUAAAAUCAGCAAUCCAAAACAGAACGAUGGCAGUACCGUAGUUAAUUGAUCGAGGCCCCAUUCCAUAUGCAACAUGAAUGUAUACGACUCUGCAAGAAACAAUGUGUUGUUAAAUGUGGUCAGUCCUCGCCUUUUUUAUGAACACAAGAAACAGUAAUGAAUUACGAUGGCAGUACCGUAGUUAAUUGAUCGAGGCCACAUUUGAGAUCCAACAAAUAAGAAGUUUGCUUUUUGGUUUUACCUUUUAAAUUUGUGUAUGUUCUAGUUGUAUUUGUAAAAGUUUAUUGUGUAUCUUCUGAAUUACGAAAAUCUUGACUUCUGAAUUACGAUAUGUUUUAUCAUCUGGCCAUUCAAUUUUAAACUCAUCAUAUCCAGUACCACAACACCUAAUGAUUUAUUUUUCACCUCAAUUUAUAAGAGAGCAAACCAGCGUUUUUUGUUUCAGAAUUUCCUCACCAACUUUUAUGUCUGAGAUCGCACCAAAAGGCAAAAGCCAACCCUCUCAGGUAACAAGAAGAAAUGAAAAACUCAACCGCUUUUACAAAAUCAGCAAACUACGGUUCAAUCAAUAUUCUCACUUUCAUGUCAGAGCACAAUGAAAUACUCAUCUGCUUUUACAAGAGUUGAGUCACUCGCCCAAUUUCAACUGGUUUUAGGAUGAACCUCAACUACAAUUAUAGGACAAAAACUUCUAUCAUUUAAGACUUUAAAUUGACAAAUACGAAGUAUCGAUCGUGAUGAUUAGGUCUUCCAUAUUAACACUUAACUACUAAAAGAGAGGAUUAACACUUAAUAGGAAUUGAAUUGGGCGUGUUCAGUUACCCCAAUAAAUUCUCCACAGAGCAGACUAAAAUAGGAGUAACAUGUAGCUUGCAGAUAUGCCUAGACUACUUCAAAGUGAAUUAGAGUCGAUCUAAUCAUAAACCUGAGUAAUGCACUGAAAAUUUCUGGUUUGGAAUCUCUGACGCUCAGAGAAUAAGCAAAAUGCAUGCAACAAAGCCUCCAUUGUUAAACCUGAAAAAACAACAGUAUGUCAAGUUAUUCUUUUCAUUGGAAUCCUUGGUAAACAUAAUUCUUUCAAAAAGAUUGGACGCAAAUGCCAAUAUCUUACAGAUUUGUAAUGUCAUAUUGUGAACUAGCACCCAACAAAAUAUUUACAUGUAUAUUGCGUAGUAUUUCCAAAUGCUUACCAAUUGGUAGCAUUAGCUAUUAGAUUGCAGUGUAAACCUCCUUCUGAAUGAACGAAGCCGAGUGAUAUCUCCCACAAAUGUGAAGAACUUGUUGGAAUCAAUGCUUUUCUCUGAAGCUUUAGCCCUUACCAAAGACAAAAUCUUCGAUUAAUGACUCAAGUCCACUUAAAACAAGUCUAGAAUUUCCAAGCUUAUUCCUAAAUUCUAUAACUUUCUCAACAAUAAUAUCAGAUGCCUUUGCAAGGUCAAAUUGAAAAUCUGCUGUUGAAACGGAAGGAAAUGCCAGAGCGGAAGCAUCAUUUAGAGAACCAUCACCGCCAACAGAGCCUACAACUAGCUCUUCACCUACCUUUGAUUCCUUACCAGAUUUUUCAGAAAGUAAACGUGUUCCUUUCAAAGAGGUUUCCUUUUCUUCAGUAAUUUGAGAAGCAUUAGAAUCCGGUACACUCUUCAAAGUUGAUUCAGUAUUGGCAGGACCAUCUGUUUUCUUUAAGAACUUCUUUAUACCUAGUUGAAUUUUUGCACCGGGGUUCUUCCGACCAGAAUAACCAUUGGGAGAUGUAUAUAACGGACCAAGUCCACUAUAUGCAUCAACGGAAGAUUGAACAUCACUCUCACUCUGGCAACAAGUAAUUCUAGCAAACCCUUCACUCUUCUUUCUUCUGCAGCAUUCUAUUCACAAUCGCCACAGCUUUCCUGCCUUGCACGUUUCCUUCAUGGCUCGUUAGAUUCUUUAGUGUGACCAGUACACGGGAUGAUACACCACAUGUCACUAAACAAAUGGUGAGAUAUGUGUGCUACAAAGUUAAAAAUUUAAAAAAAAAAAUUCUCACCAUUCCUAUUAAAACAUGUGGUGUAUCACUUGUGUUCCCGUCACAACUAAAAAUUUCUCGUAAUAUACAAAGCUUGGCAGGAAGAUCAAGCACCACAGCAUGAACAUCAACUUGGGAACUACCACCAAGCUUCACAAAAUCAUCCCAUUUUUUCUUUCUCCACAUUACACCUAUCUAUAAACACACACUACCCAUCCUUCAACGCAUUCAUUGCACUAUCUAUACACUGCCCUUUCGUUCCGGCUUUACCAUUUUUGAUAGUAUCCUACAAAAACAUAAAAUAUGAACAUAUAACAGCAUAAAACAAGAACCCAAAUGAAUAGAAAUCCGGAGUACCAUACUACGUACUGAAAAUGGCAAUCUUGAGCCCACUGCGACAUUUCAUCGAACACACUGUGUGCACAGAGAUAUACCUGGCAAAUGCGAACCAAAGGGCGAGUGGAGCGCAUCACAUGUUCGCAGAAGGUAGACUUGCCGCUUCCAGGCGCACCCACCAAUAUUACUACGACAGGCUUUCCUUGUUUUUCUUCCCCCGUCAGAAGGGCGUACAGGUUUUAUGAUCACCGAAGGAGAUGACGACUGAGAAUGGUAAAACGCGGCGUUUUGGAGAAAGGGCAUACCUUUGGCUGUUUCGUCGAUAUCCAUGUCCAUGUUUCGGAAGACUCUGCGAGGUACUUUUGAAUUAACGGCGAAAAAGCAACGGUUUCUUCGUCCGCUGGGCUGGAAGCCCGAAGCUUCUAUUGCCGGUGCCUGGUGCUUGCGUAAUGGGACACAUGUCCACAUCGUCGACCCGAAAAUUGACAAAAUCCGAUUCGAUUUGGAUUUUAUCCAUAUAUUAACCUCUUCGCAAACACCCACGUGUAAACAAAAAGUAUUUUCUAAUCACAAUCCUUACGCGCCCGUUAAAGAUGGGUUUGCUUUAAUUAUUUUUCUAAUUGUUUAACAUCGUUAUUUCAUAAGAAAUUUGUGAGGACCUUUCCUUAUCAUGUUAGGCAUCAAAAUUUUCUUAUCCUUUUCUUUUUCAACUGUCUUUUUGUGAUAAUUUUUUCUAUAAUUGUGUUAAGCCUUCUGUAUUCCGGUAACCUACAACAUGUUAAAUCUAUAGAAAUUAUAAACUUGAUAAUUACGUUCAUAGCAAAAAGGCCUAUACAUACAAUCGUGUUUACUUGAUGUAUAAGUAAGGAUCUCUUCAAAUUAUGAAUACAGUCAUAACUAGAUUACAAUAUUAAUUGCUAACCCUUAAGAGAGACGAUUUCCUUGGACAAAACUCAUUCUCUUAAUAUAAAAUAAAAGAAAAAAAGUGCAAGGAAUGAAAAAGAAUAUGGAGUUAGAGUUACUUUGACACCAUCUACAGAGAGUGCAAGGCCAUUCAGAAAUGUAUUCCUUCAGACCUGUCUCCAGAACUAUGACGUCAUACUCUUCAUCCAUGCAAUCCAGCAGAGAAACCGGAUGAAUAUAGCGAGUAUUGUGUAAAGAUGGAUAUAACCUGUAUAAUAUCCAGUAAAGAUAGUUACACUGUGUUUGGAUGAUAGAAAUAAACUUGAAAUUUAAGGAAAAGUCGGAAUUUAUAAAUUGACAUACACCAAUUCCCUUGUUUGGAUUCAUAAACAUAGAAAUUUAGAAUUUUCAUGUGGAAAAAAAACUUGGAUUUUGGGACCUUCAAUUCCUAAGUUUAAAUUCCAUGUAAAUACGUGUCAUUUCCCAAUUUCUAUGAUUGAGAGUUUAAAAAUAACAAAUUCCGUAUUGAAUUUCAUUGUUCUUUUAGGUUAACCAAAUAAGAGAAUUUACAAAUUCUAAAAAAUAAAAUCCCGUCAUUUUAAUUUCUGUCAUUUUAAAAUUUCUUAGUAAUCUUAAACUUCUUCAUCCAAACAUAGUGUUAGUUUGGUACAAAUUUAUGGAAAGCCAAAUCUACCAAGUUCGAGAUCCGGACCGUUGAAAUUUGAUCCAAUGUCUACAGUUAUUAUAACUUUCGUUAGUUUUCCUUAAAUAAUUUUGCAUUAAGAUCAUUUCAAAGUGAGUUGCUAACCCUAAAAGGUUCAGUUGAACCUUGUCAAACACAUAGAUACAUACAAGGUAACCUGUAACAUCUUUGGUUCGGCUAACUUUUGUUUUUUAAUUUUGUUUUUUUUUUUUUUUUUUGUUGAAGUCAGUUGAAGUUAUCACAUGUUCGUCUACGGCUUGUGUCCACAAACAAAAAAAAAAAAAAAAAACCCACACAAAUUCCCAAAUUCCAAUUCCAAACCAAACAAUUGCACAAAAAAUUGGCCAAUGUAAUUCGGUAUGUACCAGAUAACGGUAAUAUAUAUCUAUGACAACUACAUUAACAUAUACAUUCCAUCAUUCUCAUCAAACAAAAAACUGAAGCAAAAAACCAUAAGCCUUUUAAGAAAAUUAACCUACAAUUUCCACCCACCCCAAAAAAACUGCAAUAACAAAAUUACCCCUACAAUUUUCACUCCUGUCCGUCGGAUUUGGAAUUUAGACAUGCAAAAAAGUAAUUUUGCUUGCAGGCCUUUAGGCCUUUGAAUGGGCCAUUUCAGCUACACCCUAAUCCAAGCCGAAGGCCACAUUGGGCAUAAAAUCAACAAUCCAAAACAGAACGAUGGCAGUACCGUAGUUAAUUGAUCGAGGCCCCAUUCCAUAUGCAACAUGAAUGUAUACGACUCUGCAAGAAACAAUGUGUUGUUAAAUGCUCAGUGCACCAAAAGCCACUACCUAACAAUCUUCAUAUAUUUCAUAACAACCUCCUUCUGAUACAAGCUGGCUAUUUGUAGUCGGUUCUCUACUAACCACCUAACUAACCAACUACUUACACAAGUAUCAAUCAAAAGAUGACACCUGUCCGAGCAUCCUAACAAUACCCCCCCUUAAAACUGAUCUUACAGAUCACAUACGAAAUUCUGCAGAAAAUUUACAACACAAAACUCAAACAAUUUGCACACACAGAGAAAUACAACACAAAUUCAAAGAUCAACAAUUUUCGGGAAACUUGAUCUUCAAUUCAUAGUAAUUCUCCCAAGUAGCAUCCUCUGUGGAGUGAUUCUGCCAUUGCACCAGAACUUCGGUCACUGCAGAGUUGCCUUUCUUUACCAUUCUUCUAUCACAAAUCCGAAUGGGAACAUCUUGCAAUAUACCAGCAUCCGUAAUACCUGGCAACGGCACUGUGGUUUGCACAUCUUCUCCCAAAUGCUUUUUUAAACAGGACACAUGGAACACCGGAUGCAACUUAGAGUGAUCUGGAAGUUUGAUCUUAUAAACUACAUUGCCGAUUUGAGCUAAAACUUGGAAUGGCCCAUAGAAACGAGGUUGAAGCUUGUGAAAAGGAUGUGCUGCCAAGGAACUAAAGGGAAAAUACAACGUUGUAAUUAUAUUACAGGACCAUUACUCAAUGUUGGUAAUUUGCUAGGCAAUUUAAUAAUACAUUGUGUUUGGAAGACAGCCAAACUACAGGAAAGUGAUCUCCAAUAUUAUUUUAUAUAUUUUUAUAUAUAUAAUUUUUUUUAAUAAAUAAUAUUAUCUAAACUAAUAAAUUAAUAAUAACAUGGUUCAAAUUGAUAAAAAAUAAUCUUGAGAUCCUGAAUAUUUCUCAUUGAGAGUGGCUAUUAUGGGAAAAUUCCCAUUGAGAUUUCACGCUUGACAAGGUUGGUUGUCCUAGAUAUAUCUCUAUCUGAAUAUCCGAGGGACACCACCCUUGAGAGCCCGAACUUAAGCAUGCUCUUUCUGAACCUCACAGAGAUUUGUGAGCUCUAUCUUGAUGGGAUAAAUAUAUCAGCACAGGGAACUCAGUGGUGCCAAGCAUUAUCAUCUUCACUCCUACACCUGAGGGUGUUGAGCAUGUCUGGAAGCCAGCUCUCAGGUCCUUUUUGUCAGUCCUUCGCAAAACUUCAGUCUCUCUCGGUGAUUCAAUUGGAUAAUAAUGACAUCUCCGGUCCAAUUCCAGGAUUCUUCGCCAAGUUUACAAAUCUGACAGUGUUGAGCUUGAAUAAUAACAACAUUGCUGCUAUGGUUCCAAGAUUGUUUGCCAACUUUUCAAAGUUGACUGCUUUGAGUCUUCAAAAUUGCAAUCUUAAUGGAACAUUACCCAAAGAGAUCUUCCAGGUACCUACUUUACAAACUGUUGACCUUUCGCAUAAUCUACAGCUUCAUGGUUCCCUGCCUGAAUUUCCUGAGAAUGCAUCUCUUCAAUUUUUGGACCUAAGCUUCACAAAAGUUUCAGGGUUAUUGCCGGACUCUAUCGGCAACCUCAAAAUGUUGUCCUUUUUAAAUCUUUUCAAUUGCAGUUUCAGUGGAUCAAUCCCAAAGUCCAUGGCAAGCCUAACAGAAUUGGUUUAUUUGGACAUGUCAUCAAAUAUGUUUAAUGGUUCGAUUGAUUCCAUUUACUGGGGAAACCAUGUUAGUCUCCAAUCUUUAUUUUUGGAGUCAAAUUUACUCACUGGUACUAUCCCGUCAUCUAUCUUUUCUCCUCCCCCUUUGCUGGUACUGACACUUUCCCACAACCGAUUCUCUGGUCAACUCCAUGAAUGUUCUAAUGUCUCGUCCCAGUUAUCUUUGCUAGAUUUGAGUUCCAACAAUUUGGAAGGACCAAUACCUGCCUCUAUAUCUAAUUUUCAAGAGCUUGCAUAUCUUCGUCUUUCUUCAAACCAUUUCAAUUCGUUUCCUUCCAAUGGUCAUCCUUGUCAAUUUGAAGAGUUGUAUUUGGCUUUUAACAAUUUGAGAGCAGUCCCAGAUAUCUUGAGAUAUCAAACCAGCAUAAGAAGAUUGGACCUUUCAGGUAACCAGAUUCAAAAAGUACCCAAUUGGUUUUGGAGCCUCCAUUUGCUCGAUUACCUAAAUCUUUCUUCCAACUACUUGGUAACUCUAGCAGUUCCUUUUAACUAUACAAAGGAAUUCUCCACACUUGACCUUCAUUCUAACCAACUCAAGGGGUCCAUCCCACUAUUGCAUGCCAAUUAUCUGGAUUACUCAAGCAAUCAUUUCACUUCUAUACCGACUAACAUUGGUGAUUUCCUCAAUCCCUCCACUAAGUUCUUAUCUAUUUCGAGCAAUGAUUUGCAUGGGCUCAUUCCAUCAUCAAUAUGCAAUGUAAUUCCUUUGGUAAUUCUUGAUUUGUCCAUUAUUUCUCUGAGUGGUACGAUUCCCCAAUGCUUGUCUGCUAUGAGCCACCUUGAAGUGCUUAACUUGAGGCGAAACAAUCUUACUGGAAGUAUUUCUGAUUUCAAAUUUUUUGAAGAUUGUGACUUGGUGUCUCUAGAACUCAAUCAGAAUCAAUUACAUGGUCAAUUUCCAAAGUCUCUAGCCAAAUGCAGUAACUUACAGGUUGUAAACCUCGGAAACAACUAGAUAACAGAUACCUUUACAUGCUUGUUGAGGAACAUCCCACCUUGCGUGUCCUUAGUUUGCGGUCCAACAAACUUUAUGGACGCAUUGGAUGUCCCGACGAGAGCUAUGGAACGUGGCCAGUGCUACAAAUCAUAGACGUAGCUCACAACAAUUUUCAUGGAGAAAUACCAGGAAGGUAUUUGAAAACCUGGCAGGCAAUGAUAAAUAACGAAGGUGAUGACCCGUCAGCAGUCCACGAGCUUUAUUCUGAAGAUAGUAGUUUGAAUGGUUAUCAUCAGACAAUAACAGUCAUAAGGAAAGGUUUUGAAGUCGAACUGGUAAAGAUUCUAACUAUCUUCACCACCAUUGACUUCUCUUGCAACAAUUUUAGCGGACCAAUUCCUAAGGAAAUGGGAGAAUUCAAAUCACUAUAUUUCCUCAACUUGUCAAGUAAUGCUUUUACUGGUGAAAUCCCAUCGUCAUUUGGCAAAAUGAGACAACUCGAGACCUUAGACCUGUCGCAAAACAAGCUGAGGGGGAAUAUUCCAUUGCAGUUGGCAAACCUUACUUUCCUUUCAUUCUUGAACCUCUCAAAUAAUCAAUUGGUUGGCAGGAUCCCAACCGGUCCUCAGUUUUCAACAUUUACAAGUGCAUCAUUUACAGGUAACAAAGGAUUAUGGGGGCCUCCUUUAACAGUAGAUAGCUUGUCACCACCACCAACAUUGACUGGGAGUGUUCCGAGUUCUGGAAAUGAGAUUGAUUGGGGUCUUAUCAAUGUUGAAAUUGGAUUUGUAUAUGGCUUUGGAGUUGCAGUCGGGUCACUUGUAUUAUGCAAGAGAUGGAGUAAAUGGUAUUACAAAACAAUGUAUAAAAUCUUUGUAAAGAUAUUCCCUCAUCUUGAAGAUAGAAUUGGUCCUCACCGAAGACAUGUCCACAUAAAUCAAAGGUUGGGACGCUGAAAUUAACGAUCAUGGCGACCAAUGCAGCUGGAUUUCAAGCUAUGCCUGGGAAAUUUGAGAUCCAACAAAUAAGAAGUUUGCUUUUUGGUUUUACCUUAUAAUUUAUGUAUGUUCUAGUUAUAUUUGUAAUAGUUUAUUGUGUAUCUUUAUGCUUUGUUUUCAAUAAAUUUGCUUGUACUGUCGAUGUUCCUAAAGUUAGCGUAAUCUGAUAAGCCCAAAAGAGAGUACCACAUGUUGUUAUGUAUUAUUUGUUCAAACUGGGUAGUAACAUGUCAAGACCAACUCCAUCCAUCAUAAUAUUCUAAAAAAGAAUAUCUUGACUUUGAAUUGCGAUAUGUUUUUAACAUUCUGCCAUUAAUUCAACUCUAAACUCAUCAUAUCUAGUAUACAACACCCAAUGUUUUGUUUUUCACCUCAAUUUGUAACAGAACAAACUCGCUCUUCUUGUUUCAGGAUUUCCUCACCAACUUUUAUGUCUGAGAUUGCAUCAAAAGGCAAAAACCAACCCUCUUAGGUAACAAAUAGAAAUGAAAAACUCAAAUGCUUUUACAAAAAUCAGCGAACUACUGUUCAAGCAGUAUUCUCCCUUUGAUGCCUGAGCAUUGUUCUAAAAAUCCCCGCCUAGGCGUUAGGCGGCUGGCCAUUGCCCCGAUUAAUGCCUAGGCGGAUGAGGCACCCGAACCCACCCAUAUUUGCCUAGGCACCUGCCUAGGUUGCGACUCACUUAGACAGAAAAUAAAUAACUUUCGAUUUGCAUUUAUUUAUUUUUUCGAUAAAUUGUAAGAGACUUAUUGAAUACUAGCACACACUCGAUGCUUGUUUCCCAUGUUUUCAUUAUGUUCCGAUACUUCAUAAUACAUAUGUCAUUCUAUUUUGUAGUUGAUGAUGAAAUUAUAUUUAUUAAGUAUAAACAAACACUUAUUUACACGAAAUAUAAUGGAUUUACUUAAAUCCGCCUAGGCACCCGCCUAGCCACCUAGGCGCUAGGCCUCAGCCCGCCACCCGACUAGCGCCUAAUGUCUUUUAGAACCUUGUGCCUGAGCACAACGGAAAGUUAAGAAACCCUACAAGGGCUUACAAGAGUUAAUCACUCGCCCUAUUGUUAACUGGUUUUACAAUGAACAUCAACUUCAAUUUUAGGACAAUCUCUAACUUGUAUUUUAAGACUUUUAGCUGACAAAGGCGAAGUAUCUAUCGCGAUGAUUAGGUCUUCCCUAUUAACUCUUAACUACUAAAAGAGAGGGUUAACACUUAACUACUAAAGGAUUUGAAUUGGGUUUGUUCCUCUGUGAGAGACUUAAUUGAAGGAAGUUACCCCGAUAAAUCCUCCACCAUAUCAUAGUUACAUACAACAUGAGCAUACACAAACCGUUCUGUUUUUCUUCCACCUAUAAUGGUAUUUGUAUUUGGUCGACUAUAUAUUGGCUUAGUCAGUCAAAAACUAAUAUAGGAGAAACAUGUAGAUUGCAGAUAUGCCUAGACUACUUCAAAGUCAAUCAAAUCAUAAACCUGAGUAAUGCAUGUAAGGUGGACUAAUACAACAUGGUUCUAGGAUAACAAUUUAACAUGCAUCAAGAUAAUUACAAGAAGAAGAUGCAUGAUACUAACCUGCACCGAUUGGAGACAUGGUGGCUUGAGUUCACAGGUUGUCUUCUACUUCCAGUACUUCAAAAUGUCUCUCUACCGUGAAUAGGGUUUGGCGUGAUUGAGAGUAUAAGCGUAUGGAAGCAGGGACUUAACCAUAAUAUUUAUAUCAUUAGGGUUUAAUCACAACCAACCUAUUAUUGGUUGUGAAAGUCAAACCCUAUCACUUAAGUGUUUAAGUCCCACCAUGAUACUGUAUCUUUGUAGUGAAAUCCAUCAGAUUUCUUUUAGGUCAAUUGCAAAGGCUAAGACUCCAUAAUCCUUAUUUCAUUUGGACUAUCAGAUUACUUAAUUUGUUAACAACUCAAUAAACAAGUGGUCUACAACAUAAGUAAUCCAAUACAUCAUUCAUUGUCAUUCACAACCUUACAAUGCACUGAAGAUUUCUGCUCUGGAAUCUCUGACGCUCAGGGAAUAAGCAAAAAGCAUGCAACAAAGCCUCCAAUGUUAAACCUGAAAUAACAACAGUAUAUCAAGUUUAAUUUUCUUUUCACUGGAAAUCAUACAAAAGAAUCAAGCAAGCCCACCGAACCAAUGUUUAGUAUAGUUGUAGCUAGGCACUGACUCAUUCAAGUGUGUUUAUAUGGAAGCUAAUCUAAAUUAUUUGUUCAAUUUAUCUGGUUAGUAACAUGUCCAGACCAACUCCAUGCAUCAUAAUAUUCUUCAACUGAAUCUGGACUCGUUCGAUGUAUUAUAUGGAAGUCAGCAAAAUUAUGGAGAUGAGAUUGAUUGGGAUCUUAUCAGUGUCGAAAUUGGAUUUGCAUUUGGGUUUGGAAUUGUUGUCGGGUCAUUGUUUUGUGAAAAAGAUGGAGUAAACGGUAGUGUGAGCUUGAUCUGUUACAAUUUUAUAAUUUGAUGUCGAAAGUUUUUAAAAGGUAGAAAAGAACGACAUAUUCAGGAUCAAAUUUUUCAUAAUGUUUUUUAAUCUUCUUUUCGAUACAAGAAUCAGCAUUACUCACUAUCGAAAUGAUAUAUUCUUGAACAAAUUUUCAAAAGUACGGAAUUUGACACAUAAAAUACAAAUCAUAAAACUAAAAUGGUGCUCAACAGAAGACAGAAUUAAACAAAAAAGGUGAUACAAGCAACAUUAAAUUAAACAGUUUUACUUAAUCGAGCUUCAUUUGACUGACUCUUCGCUUUUUCUUUUUUUUUAGGCCUUGGUUCUUAGCUUUUGCUUUUGUGGUUCUCCUCUUUGUUUGCAUUGCUGAUAUCAUGAACAUUUACUCUGUUUUAGCUUUGAUUUUUCUGGACGAAGACUUCCUAGUCAAGCUAAACAACGACAAAUCUAAUGGAGAUAUUUUCCCCAACAUUAAAGCCGGCACCGCAUCAAUACAAGCUGAGCGGGGAAAUCCCUUCGUAUCGUGGUGAGCAAUAUUAUUUUUCCAUCACUAAUCACAUUAAAAUAAUAAUAUGUCCUUUUCCAAAAAUUGACUUCCAAUUCAAGAUGCACGACUUAACAAUGAUUUCACAUUAUAAAAUUAGGUAAUGUUUAUGUUACGUAACGAUUCAUUUGUGUUGUUGUAUACUAGAGGGGAUCAGUCAAGGGAUAAACUAUCAUACGGCUUCGUGAACUUUGUCAAAUUGCAAUGGAGUUGAAUCUCCUUAAAAAGAGUGAGAUACACGUGUCUCAACCUAAUAGUUUACGUGCUUCUUAGAAAAAUAUUACAAUUUUCUUGUACUUUUCCUGACAAAAAAUAUAUAGUAUUUCUAAUUUUCUAUCAAGUUACUUGCCUGGCCAGAAGACUGGGUCACUGGAGCACAGCUGCUUAUUUCAAUUUAAGCCAAUUUCCUCCAGUGACUUUGAAUUAGUCGCUUCAAACCUUUUUUUCCUGGUUCGAGUCGGAGAAAAUUAUUUUAAUGGUUUAAGACUUCAAAUUCGUUUUCUCCAUCAAAUUAUUUAGAAUACAUUUGAUAAUUACUUUUUAUUUUUUAUUUUAAUGGUUUAAGAGCCAUACAUAAUAUACAUAUAAACAAGUCAAUCCCCUUGAGUCACUUCAGAUUUUAAAAGUGAUAGAUUUGAUAGGAUUUAAGAGGAUUAAAGAUUCAUACAAAAUUCAUAUGGAUUUGAAUGGAUAGUUUGUAGAUUUUGGUGGAUUGUGAUGGAAGGAUUUGAAAUCCUAGGGGGUGAGGUUGGAUUCCUUUUAGCCUUGGUUACAUAUAGAAAUCCUUAGAAAUCCUUUAAAAUCCACAACUUAUAGAAAUCCCCCAAAAUUUGAAUACACUUAGAUUUGGAUGAAUUUUAAAAUCCUUUAAAAUCUUUUAAUUGACUACACCUAGAUUUUAAUGGAUUCUAAAAUCCUUUAAUUGACUACACCUAUAUUUUAAUGGAUUCUAAAAUCCUUUAAAAUCUUUUAAUUUACUAAACUAGGAUUUUAAAGUCUUUUAGAAUCCUCUCAAAUACAAGUUUGACUACACCCAAUACGUUUGAUAAUUACUUUUUUUUUAAAAUUAAAAAUAGUUACUAAAUGAAUUUUUAAUUUAAAAAAAGAUAAAUAAAAAAUAAAAACGAAAUAGUUAUUAAAUAACCUCUUAAAGCUUAAAAAUCAUUUUAUUUAUUAUUUUUAGUUUUCACUUUUUGUACUUAAGAUAAGGGAAAAUAAGAGAUGGACUGGUUACAAAUGUAGAUGUUGUGCAACUGGCUGUGCGGAACUGAGAUCCAAAUUACAUCUACAUCACAACAAACCACAGUUGAAUAAAAUGGGGCCCUGUGUGAAAAUUAAAACGGGACCCUUUCACACACAAGACUUAUUUUUUUGUGUUUAAAACAAUUUUUUUCCUUCUAUGGUAUAUUUAGAGCACUUUGAAAGUUGGGCAAUCCCCUAUGGGGUAGGCUAUUCAAUGCCCCAAUCCCUCCAGCAAUUGGCUCCAGCCCAAUCCAAUCAGCUAGGCUUCAGGCGAGCUUGAACUGUCCACCAGGCCGAAAUCCAUGGGUAUAGCCCCCAAGCUGACGUCAACUAUUAAAAAAUUAUAAAAUAUUAAUAAAUUAAAUAUAAAUACAAAAAAUAUAAUUUUUCUAUAAAUACCUAAACUUUCUUCAUAUAUCAAGCACAAAAAAGUGAAAACCAAAGUCAAUGAAAUGGUUAUCAUGAAAUGCUUUAAUUCACUUGUAGAAUUAAACACUAUUUCAUUAAUUACCCCACCUGUAGAUUUGUAAAAGAGAUACUUAAUCAUAGUUUGAAAGUGCCUUUAAAAUAACUGAAAGUACUUUUAAAGAAAAUGUUUUUAAGUUCCAAAAGCACUUGAAGUGUUUUUUGGGUCGAAGAAGCACCACUUGAAGUGUUUUUUCCAAAAUUCACUUGCGUUUUUACUAAUAAUUAAUUCUAGAAAUAUUUUUACUAAAAAAACUUUCUGUUAUUUUAAAAUCACUUCUAAACAAGCUAUUAAAUAAAAUCGAGAAGAUAAUACAUGUAUCUGAACGUGGGGAACACACUCCCUUGCGUGAAGUUUUAGCCCCUCUCUUGUCAACAUUGAAAAAACAACCCACAAUUUAAACCCCACAAGGAAUAUGGGGAAAGACUUUGAAGUCAACAAGUCAAGCAAACCUCAAAUUUGGUAGAAACCAUCAACCAUGUUUUUCUCAGAGUCUCUAAGAGUCAUACAUACACACGUCAAUCCAUUUGAGUCACUUCAGUUAUUUAGAAUCCGUUUCAUAAUUAUUAUUAUUAUUUUUUAUUUUUUAAAUUAAAAGUAGUUACUAAAUAAGUUUUUAAUUUUCAAAAAAAAAAAAACGAAAUGGUUAUUAAACAGCCUAUUGGAGCUUGGAAAUUAUUUUAUUUUUUUGUUCGUAGUUUUCACUUUUUUGUACUUGAGAUAAGGAAAAAUGGGAGAUUAAAUGGUUAUACAUGUAGAUGUUGUACAAUUGGCUAUGCAAAGCUGAAAUUUAAAUUACAACCAUAUCACAACAAACCACAGUUUAAUAAAAUGGGGCACUGUGUGAAAAUUAAAAUGUGGCCCUUUCACGCACAAGACUUGUAACGCCCCGGCUUCAAAAUAUUUAUUUUCGGGAAAAACAAUUUCUAUGGUAGGCCCACAAUUGAUAUAUAUGUCUUAUCCACGAUCAUUCACCACAAUUCUCUCUAAAAAGCCUUGAUUCCACCAAUGGCUCUUAAUUAAAAAUUCCUUAUCAAAUGUACAAUUAAAUUUCUAUUUUAUCACCAAGUCCUUUACAUGGACAAAUUUCUAGAUUUCAACACUAAUUCUCAAAUUUCUUAACCUUACUUGAUUUAUGGCUGCAUCUAACAUCUUAUUAGACUGCCUACGUACCCUGAACAGGGAUCAAGCCAUUUGUAGUUCAUAAUUCAAUAUUUUCCAAUUUCCGAACAUAAUCUCUAAUCCACCAUAUUCAUAUCAACCGUUACAACCCAGUUCAUCUCAAAUGGGUACCAAUAAAGAUUCAGAAUAUCGAAACUUACAUGAAAAAUGGCAACGUCGGCUCCCUGGGCGUGAGCCGCCGCACCCGCCGCCGCCAGUGGUGGUCGGCCGCCUCGAAUUGCCGGAAAAUUCCACUAUUUCUAAAAAUUCUCAUAAAAAUACAUAAAUAAAGAUCUCAAAGAGUAGAGCAAACUUUAUACCUGUGGUCAAGUCCAAUUUGGCCUGGAAAGGCUCCAAUUUGAUUCAAACCCGCCGGAAACCCUUGAAUUUGGGUAUUUUUGAUUCGACUCCAAAGCUACUCCGACGCCUCAACCAUUACUUGGGCUUUGUUCCAGGCUUCAAGACGAAUCUAAUGGUGGUGGUAAUUUAAUGAAAUCGUUUCGGAUUUGGGUGAUUCGAACACAACACCACCGCACCCUACCGUGUGGAUUCACCCAUUUUCAAGGCCAAAACCCUUGAUUUUUGAGGUGUAAGAGGAAGAGGGAAGGUUAUGGGGAGGUUUUCAAUUGACUUUUUCGUGGAAUUCACUGGAAAAACCGUCGGAAAAGCCGAAUGGGUAGCUGGGGUUCACGGGUCCGUUCGACCCGACCCCUUUUCCCCUUCUUCCUUUUUCUCUCCUUUCCCUCAUUUCUUUCUCCUCCCAUUGGUCCUGCCCCCUCCUUUCUCUCAUUUCCCUCAUUUCUCUUCUUUCCUUUUCAUCCCAACCGUCCAUCUCAUUUUUUUCUUAUUUUCUUUUCAUCUCAGCCACACAAGUGGCACACCACAGAUUCCAGAAAAUCUGGAAUGUUCCCACUAGAUGUCAAAAUGACUAGUUUACCCUCCACUUCUAUCAUUAAUAUCUUCCUCGUUAUAACUUCAUUUCACGAACUGUUCACGCCUACGCGUUCAUGAGAUCGAGCUCUAUCCAAAAUAUAAAUUGUGACCUCAAAGGGUCUACGGGUUUUAAAUAAUUAAUUUCCAAACUUUAAACCUCGUAACCAGUUUAAUUGAAAACUAAACUCAAUUGAAUUUAUAUAAAUUCUCGAUUCUUUUCACAUAUCCAUAAUUAUGAAUAUCCAAUUCAUAUAUUUAAAUUUUAUAUCAAAUUCAUAUAUUUAAAUUUUAUAUCAAAUUCAUAUAUUUAAAAAUUUCAGGGUAUUACAAGACUUUUUUUUGUGUGUUUAAAAGAUUUUUUUUCUUCUAUGGCAUAUUUAUAAAAGUACAAAACUUAGUCUGAAAGUCAACUUUGUAACACAAUAUCUUCUACUAAAUAAUUGAUAUAGAAGAAUUUAAGGGAAGGUAUAUGUUAAACAAAUGAAGUUUUUAACAAAGAAAAAAUAUAUAAAAAGAUACAGUAUUUUUAAAACAGAAAACCAUUUGGGUAUUUUUCAAAUUUGUACUUAGUUAAGUUAUGCAUAUAUAGUUUUUUUUUUUUUUGGAAUAUAUAAAAUUGAAAUAUAUAUGGAAGCUAAUCUAAAGUAUUUGUUCAAUUUAUCCAGUUAGUAACAUCACUUUAAUCGCUUUUGUAGAAUGCCGCUUCGAACCAAAAAAUUAAACAUGAUUUCAUUAAUUACUUCACUUGUAGCCUUGUAGAAGAGAGACUUAGACCUCGUUUAGAGGUGCUUUUAAAAUUAUUGAAAGCGUUUUUAGAAAAAAAAUGUUUUUGGGUCUCAAAAACACUUGAAGUGUUUUGUGGAAGAAGCAUCACUUCAAAUGAUUUUCCAAGAUUCAUUUUUGUUUUUAUAGAAUAUUGAUUCUAAAAACAUUUUUUUUCUUAAAACGCUUUUAAUUGUUUUAAAAAUACUUUCAAACAAGUUUUUAUAUGAAACUAGGAGUAUAACGCAUGUAUCUGAACGUGGGGUAUACAUUGUUUCGUGAAGUUUUAGCCCCUCUGUAGGGGCGAAAUUUUACCCUCUCUUUUCCACUCAGUGGUCUGUCAGCAUUGAAUAAAACAACCUACAAUUUAAAAUUCUUCAUACAUACAUACAUUACCAUCACCACGAUAAGGGAUACGGGGAAAGACUUUGAAGUCAACAAGUCAAGCAAACCACAAAAUUAUACCCGCUAUACAUACCCAUCACCACGUUUUCUGUAGUAUGGCUCGCUUAAGUUAACGAAUUUUUAAUUUUUGAAAAAAAAUAAAAAAUGAAAAUAGAAUGAUUAAUAAAAUAUAGGACAAUUGACGCGUGAGAACUAUAAUUUGGACUAUGAAGAACUUUAUAAAAUAUAGGACAAUUGUUACACAUUCGGAUAAACAAAGCGCAUAAACACACGUUCACAGUUCAACUUCAUCAUGGUUUCAGCUGAGCUUAGAUAGUCAUUUCGGUUUGUAUUGACUGACUAUGUAUUGCCUUAGUCAGUCAAUAGCCACUGGAAAAUGAGGAUAGGAAAGCAACGCAGUCAGACUAGAACGCCAUGUUGUAUUAAAAAUAUCUAGAAAUCAAUUAAACUUUAUCAAAAGUCAUGAAUUGAGACAAUCAAGACUUCAAAAUCAACGUCAACCAAUAAAACCAAGAUUUUUUUUUUGAAAUGUUAUAUGAAAUUAUACACCUUCAAUUUAUCAUAUAUGAACUAAAAUUUUAAACGAUUUGUUAUACCAACUUUCUGAAUCAUUAAUUUUUCAUCUAACUCUAACUUCGUUAAGUUUUUCAUUCAAAAUAACUCAUGUGCAAGGCACCCAUAACUUAUGUUCAGGAGUAAUUUUAGACAUUUCAACGAGUGUCGCCCUCACUUCUCCCUUUGCAUUUAAUAACCACAAAAGGCAUCAAAAUGCCUUUCAUUCGUCUCUGCUUUUUAGGCACACACCCCAUUUUACUUCUCACACACUUUUUUAAAUUUCAGCCGUUGGAUCGGAUAAAUUGAAGAAGAUCUAACGGACAGAAAUUAUCAAGGGUGUGUGAGAAGUAAAAUGAGGUGUGUGGAUAGCACACCCCUUCCUUUUAUUCUAGUCUGCUUUUCUUUUAGCUGUGCAGGGAAAACAACAUUCUAUUUCAUUUGAACCACGUUAUUAUUAGUUCAUUAUAACUUUAAAUUUAAAAUUUCUCUUUAGUAUAUCAUUUGUUCAAAAAUAAAAAUAAAAACUCAUAAGAGUAUAUUUCCAAAUUUAUUGAGGUCAAGGGAUCUCAAUGCACCUUUGUUGGCUUUGCUAAUGAAAACAUUGCAAAGUACGUGAUUUAUUUUAGAUGGAAAAUUUAAUAGAGUUGGUAUGACAAAUCGCUUAAAUAUUAGUUCAUAUGAUAAAUUUAAAAAAAAAAGUGUAAAAAUUCCUAUAACAUUUCAAAAAAAAAAAAUCCUAAUCUAACAAUUCUACAGUGCCAUAUAUAAAUCCAAGUAUAUUAAUUAGUAUAUUUCAUGCGACAAAUUUCCACUUGCCACAUUGCCUAAAGUAGUACUACAAUUACUCUUAAGCAAUAAUAUUUCGCUAUUGAAAAACAACCCACAAUUUAAGCCCCACAAGGAAUAUGGGGAAAGACUUUGAAGUCAACAAGUCAAUCAAACCAUAAAUUUGGUAGAAACCAUCACACACGUCAAUCCGCUUGAUAAUUAUUAUUUAGAAUCCGUCUGAUAAUAAUUAUUUUCUUAUUUUUAUUUUUUAAAAUUAAAAGUAGUUAUUAAAUAAGUUUUAAAUUAAAAAAAUGAUAAACGAAAAAUAAAAACAAAAUGAUUAUUAAACAGCCUAUUGGAGCUUGGAAAUUAUUUUAUUUUUUGUUUGUAGUUUUCACCAUUUUGUACUUGAGAUAAGGGAAAAUGGGAGAUGAAAUGGUUAUACAUGAAAAUGUUGUGCAAUUGGCUGUGCGGAACUGAAAUUCAAAUUACAACCACAUCAUAACAAAUCACAGUUCAAUAAAAUGGGGCACUAUGUGAAAAUUAAAAUGUAGUCCUUUCACGCACAAGACUUUUUUUUUGUGUGUUUAAAAGAUUUUUUUUUUCUUCUAUGGCAUAUUUAUAAGUACAAAACUUAAUCUGAAAGUCAACUUUGUAACACAAUAUUUUCUACUGAAUAAUAGAUAGAGAAGAAUUUAAAGGAAGGUAUAUGUUAAAGAAAUGAAGUUUUUAACCAAGAAAAAAAAUAUAUAUAAAAAGAUACAGUAUUUUUAAAACAGAAACCAUUUGGGUAGUUUUCAAAUUUGUACUUAGUUAAGUUAUGCAUAUACAGUUUUGUUUGGAAUAUAUAAAACUGAAUAUAUAUCCCUGUUCCUUCGGGACCCCCACAGCCGACACUGAGUAAGACCAAAUUGGUCUUUGGCUCACACGCCAUUACACAUUCUAUAAUUACAAAGAAGAAUAACUAGGGACCUGCCUAUUACAUUUGGUCACAUUUGGUCACAUAUCAGCAACAACUUCCGAUGAAAACUCCUCUGCUUUCAUGGCUUUUCUUACUCCGCAUUUGCUAUGUUUCACUCACCUUCCAUACGUUUGUGGUCUCUACCCAAUGUCCCGGCGAUCAGCAAUCUUUGCUGCUGCAAUUGAAGAACACCCUCACAUUUGACCCUGCAACGUCUCAAAAACUUGUGAACUGGAAGAAUGGAUCGGAUUACUGCUCUUGGGAAGGAGUGUCCUGCAAAGAGGGUUGUGUUUCGAAUCUGGACUUGAGCAACGAGUGGAUUACUGGUGGACUUGAUAAUUCCAGUCCUCUUUUCGGUCUGAAGUCGAUCGAGAACCUGAACUUGGCUAACAACUCCUUCAACUACACUCAGAUUCCUUCCGAGUUCAAGCAGCUAACCGGUUUGCAUAACCUGAACUUGUCGUGUGCUGGCUUUGCGGGGCAGGUUCCGAUU